UAAUCUAUGUGCUUCACCAACAGCUCCAGCGAACGUGGUAUCUUCAGCAGGGUCUGUUUGUUUUCUGAGCAGGAAAGCUGAAACCCAGGAUGAGGAUAGCCGCAGUGGGGUGACUGCUGGCCUUCUAAACGGAAGGGGAAAUGGACAGGUGGAUCCUGGUGGUUGCACCGCCGCGCCUUGCAGUCGUCUUGGAUUGGCACUGCUUCUGCAACAUCCACAGCUAAGAUAAAGCAGAAUAACGAGUAAAUUAACAUUGUUCUUACUAACUUGUGAGCCCCUGAAGUGAAACGGGCUUUAAAUAAUUUCAUUGACAUAGGUGGUUCAGCCCUUGAGAGUUCCAAUUAUGCACGCAACGCAGCUGCUGCUUUACCAUAUAGCUUUGUCUCGUUUAACAGGGUCUUCAACUCUCCGUCCUCUCUUUGUUCUCUUUUCUGAGUAAAUGUUAGACAUGUUUGAUUGUUAGCAACCCUUUCUAACUUUGUUACUAAUUUUCUUUUAUUCCCGUUAGUUGUAGUAAAAUUUGAGGGAAAAACACUGAACAUGAGAAUGAAUACCGAUUUGCUGUUGUGAUCAUAGUGGGGUCAGCUUGACUGACUCUUGUUUUUCCACCUUCGUUGAAGUUUCCUCUUCCCUUUAUAGUUUUUACUACAUUUUGUUUGGUAUGACUAAGUAGUUGACUGACUUUUAUGGGUUCUUUUUAAUGUCUAUCGUUUUUUUUCUAAUGUAGGUGAUUUUUUUCUCACUUUUUUUUUCUAAUUUAUCUUUUAUUUUUGGAUUUUAAUUCGAAAUCGCAAAACUUGAACCAUCAUAUGUUUUUAAAUUUUAAAUCACUUAUUUUAGAUAGAACAAAUUUUUUAAAAGUGGAUACAAGACAAAAUGACAUAAUUUUUUUAAUAUGAGUAUGGAACAAUUAUAGUCAUUGCUUGUUCUACUCGUCCUAUCUCGAAAUAAUCUUUUACCUUUUUUGUAUAUAAUUAUUAAAAUGAUAAAAAUGUAAUAAUAUAUUAUAGGAAAAAAAUCAUAUGUUUUAUAUUUAUAUUUUUAAAAAAUUAUGUUUAAAUACUUACUCGUCCUAUCUCGAAAUUUCUUGUAGUUAUACUGUCUUUGAGAUGUUUUUAUUCGCGAUUUUGAACUAAUUUUCUAAAUACCUAGGGGAGAUGAACCUUAUGAUGAAUUUUGUCUUUUGAUUUCUGUUUUAUGCAAUGAAUAAUUGAAUCUUAUUCUCAAUUAUGUGUGCUUAAUCCUUGAUUUAAGAUUUUCGAAUUAUUAAUUCAUGUUUGAUGUGCUUAAUUAAGAGUAGAUCUAGCAUAAUUGAGUGGAGUUGCAUGUAAUCCUAGAAAUAGGACGACAUAAAUCUAACGAAUUAGGUAUUCAUAAACGAGAACUCAAUCAUAUCCAUCAGCACAAAACCCAACCAGGCGAGUCACAUUCACAUGGUGGAUUCUACCUAUCGAACCCACCUCAUUGAUGAACUCUUAAUAUUUAACUAAAGUUUGCUUUCUACUUUUUUUUUAUUUCCAUUUUUAAGAAAAUGUUAUUUUAUUAAUUCAAUUAUCUAAAUUAAUAUUAUUUUAUUUAAAUUAUAUUAAUCCUCAUUUAAUUAUUACAAGUAUAUUAUUUUAAAAUUAUAAAAAAUAUUAUUUAAUAAAUUAAACAAAUAAACAUUUAAAAUCACAUACAUUACAUUAAAAACUAAUAUAUCUAAAUAUAUAUUUUACCACUUAUUUUAAUCUUGUUAUUUUUAAUUUCAUCAAAAUUAUAUAUCACUCGAGCCACUGCGACUGCUGACUGGUGAUUAUUGAAAGGUUCUGAAUUAAUACAUCCAAGACUUUUAUGAGCAUCGCCAUUGACUGACCGACGACUUGAAUUAAAGAAUUUUCCACAUUAGCUUUGUUAGUGGACUGAUUUUUCAAAGAAGGACUUGCUCUCAAUUGCAGCCAUAAAAUAAAUGAAUGAUUGGCAUUUUACAUUAAAGAACAUCCCAUUGUUUAUUUCUUCAUCGGAGCUCCACCGGAACUUGAUGAUGUUAAGACCCAGACUUGUCUUGUUUAGCAUCUUUGCCCUUACUUUAUCCCCAGAUGUUUCCGAUGGUAGAGCAGGCAAAAGCAACCACUGCGGCCCAUCUUUGUGUGGACACGUUAAUAUCAGUCACCCUUUCCGACUAAAAGGUCAGCCUCGUCGAUGUGGUGACCGUAGGUUUGAAUUAGAGUGCAAGAGAAACCGCACCAGUUUUCCCAUGAAAUACGGAAACUUUUAUGUCCUAAACAUCUCUUAUGUUGACCGAACGCUUCGACUUGUGGAUGUGAGUCUGGUCGAUGAAAACUGCUCAAUUCCUCGCAGUUCCAUUGUCGAUUCUUCAGACAGCUAUCUAGAACACAUAAUAGCGAAUGGAGCAGACACCAUGUAUCUGGUAAAUUGCACGACAAGUAUGAAGUCUUCUUCAGUUUAUGUCGAUGCUUCUCGUUGCCCAACCAAUAGCUCUUCUUCUCCUUGGACCUACUUCUACUUUCCGGUCUCGUUUUCAAAUAUAUCCGAUUUCGAUCAUUCGUGCAGAUUUAUAGCCCAGUUUCCUGUCAUGCUUUCCAAUAUUAGUGGCUUAUCCCCUUCUUACAUUUACAAAAACCUGUUGGAAGGCGUCGAGGUGUCCUGGUAUCGUUUUUGGCCUUCAAACCCGAUUCUCAAAGUGUAAGAGACUUCGAUCUUUAGAUUCUUUCAAUCUAUAACUUUUCAAGGCCUUAUUUAUUGAUUGGUUGCUUUUUUUUUUCCUGGGGGGGGGGGUAUUCUAGCUUGCUACAGUUGCUACUUCCAAUUGCAGCAUACAUAGUAACCAUUGCGAACUUUCUUCAGCAGGGAAGCAUCAACUAUUAUACUCCUUAUCAUAAAGGUUAAUGUUUCAGAUUUCAUAAGUAUCUGUAUUUAUUGGAUUUGCCCUUGAAUUGCAUUCAAGUUAGUAAUACUAUUGUUGAAUUGGUGUUUUAAACAGCAUCCUUCUUAGUUUGUCUUGCAGUAUCAGGUAAAUCUCUUUCCCCGCCCCACUUUUUUAUGUUAUCUUUAUAAAAUAAUCAUGAAUGCUGAUUUAUCCUUGUGUAUGCCCCUUGAUGGGCAAGCAGCUGGCAUAUUGUUAGCGAGAACUUUGUUGGGGAUAUUCUGCCUCAUUACACUUGUUAUACACAAACUAAGGAGGAGGCAUUUAUCGAUGGAUGAUAAUAUUGAGAACUUUCUUAAAAGUCAAAAUAAUUUAAUACCAAUUCGAUAUUCGUAUUCUGAAAUAAAAAGAAUUACGGAAGGUUUUAAAGUUAAAUUAGGUCAAGGAGGUUAUGGUUCUGUGUUUAAAGGAAAGCUUCGCAGUGGUCGGCUAGUGGCAAUAAAAAUGUUGGAUAAAUUCAAAGCAAAUGGAGAAGAUUUCAUCAAUGAAGUUGCUACUAUUGGAAGGAUUCAUCAUAUUAAUGUAGUGCAACUUAUUGGAUUUUGUGUAGAGAGAUCAAAACAAGCUCUUGUAUAUGAUUUUAUGGUGAAUGGGUCUUUGGAUAAAAUUAUAUUUUCAAAGGAGAAUUGCACUUUAAGUUGGCAAAAAUUAUUUGAGGUUGCACUAGGUGUGGCUCGAGGGAUUGAAUACUUGCACAGGGGUUGUCAAAUGCAAAUUUUGCAUUUUGAUAUCAAGCCGCACAACAUUCUUUUGGACGAAAACUUUAUCCCUAAAGUUUCUGAUUUUGGUCUUGCAAAAUUAUAUUCAGUGGAUGAUAGUAUUAUUUCUCUCACAGCGGCUCGUGGUACAUUAGGAUACAUUGCUCCUGAAUUAUUUUACAGAAAUAUUGGAGGCAUCUCAUAUAAAGCCGAUAUUUAUAGUUUUGGAAUGUUAUUAAUGGAAAUGGUGGGAAGAAGAAAGAAUUUGAAUGCAUUUGAUGAUCAUUCUAGUCAAAUUUAUUUUCCGUCAUGGAUUUAUGAUCGAUUUGAACAAAGAGAGAACAUAGAAUUAGGGGAUGAAACAGAAGUUGAUGACAAAAUAGCAAGGAAGAUGAUAAUGGUUGCAUUUUGGUGCAUACAAAUGAAUCCCACUAAUCGUCCUUCAAUGAGCAAAGUUUUGGAAAUGCUCGAAAAUGAACUUGAUCACCUUGAAUUACCGUCCAGACCUUCACUAUUUUCUCUCGAAAAGUCAAUUGAAGAUCAUGUUAGUAAGAAUGUAUCGGAGGAACCAUCAACGUCAAAAAGUUGUGUGGACCUCUAAGUAUAAUGUUUGAUUUUAUUCGGGCCUUUUAUACAUAUAGUUCUGCAACUGUAAGCUUUUAAUUUGUAGCAUUUCAUGUUCAGUUGUAUAAUAUCCAGCAUCAUGUAAUACAACUAUUAAUGGAUGUGUGUUUUAGACUUUAGCUCCUUAGCUUCAUGUUUCAAUUAUUAAAAAUGUCUCCCAGUCACCAUAUAAUGAGUUAAUAUCAAAUUCGUUUACAAUUAUUUAGUAUAUAAGUGACUCUUAACAUUGGGUGAUCUCAUGAGAAAGUUUUUACUGAUCUCUUAUUGUAAUAUGUAAUCAUGAUAAUUAUGAGUGUGGUGUGGCGGUUGCUCACUUCAUUUUUAAAUCAUUUAGUCAAGAAUUUGAGUUCCGCUCAAAGAAAUGGAACACUUACCAACUAUGAAUACCUUAAUUUUGACAAUUAAACAACAUUUAAGAUAGAAUCUUAUCAUUUAUUAGUAGAAUUUAUAUACCAACAGCCAUGCAGCAUUUCAUUUAUGAGUUCAUAUAAAAUCUUAGCAUUGGUGUAAUAUGAGUGUGCUAAUAGACGAUUUCAAGUUUCAACUGAUUCUAGUACUACUAAUAAUGAGGCUCGAGCUUGUUCUUAUUCCAUUUCUGAAAUAGUGGCUAGAUCUCUGUUAACCGGCUUCCUAGGUAUGGUGGCACCCAUCGUCUUCGUUGGAUCCGUCGACGCAAAAGGAUUUGGUGGCAUUGUAAGAACGUCAAGCUCUCCCUCUAACAUCUGAACCACCACUUUCAUCGAAGGACGAUCAACGGGAUACCACUGAAUGCACCAAAGUCCAACAAUCAUGAGUUUCUUUGCUAUCCCUGUUUGUGCAUCAUCUUCAAUUCGAAUCCCGAACUCCCCUCCUUUAUCCAAACGAUCAUAUGCCCAUUCUGGGAAAUACACUUGGCUUGUGUUCUCGACCGUAACAUCUAUGUUCUUUCUCCCCCCAACCAUUUCAAGCAACAGCAUUCCAAAACUAUAAACAUCAGAUUUAUAUGACACAUUUCCAAAGUUGCGAGACAGUACCUCUGGUGCAAUAUAGCCCAUGGUACCUCUAGCUGUUGUCAUUGAAAUAGCACUUUGUUCCUUGGAACACAAUUUAGCAAGGCCGAAAUCAGAGAUCUUAGGAUUGAAGUUGUGAUCAAGCAAAAUAUUGUGAGGUUUGAUGUCAAAAUGGAGGAUACGUUGCUCGCAACCUUGAUGCAGGUACUCAAUGCCUUUGGCUACACCGACAGCAAUAUCCUGAAGUUUUUCCCAACUCAGGGAUCGAUCCUUGCCCUUGGCUGAAAAUAUGAACUUCUCUAAUGACUCGUUUGGUAGGUAUUCAUAAACGAGAGCUCUGUCAUAUCCAUCGGCACAAAACCCAACCAGGCGAGUCACAUUCACAUGGUGGAUUCUGCCCAUCGAACCCACCUCGUUGAUGAACUCUUCACCAUUUCCCUUGAAAUUAUUGAGCACCUUGACAGCAACUAAAACAUCACUGGAAAGUCUGCCUUUGAAGACAGUUCCAUAGCCUCCUUGUCCCAGUUUGUCCUUGAAAUGAUUAGUUAUCCUUUUAAUAUCAGCAUAGGAGUAUCUUGAGGGUUUAAGCUCUUUAUAAUCUUCCAAAAACUUUUCAAUCUUGACUUGGCUUUCUUUCUCCUUUUUGUCUAACCGAUAUCUCCACCCAACUGCAAUGGCAAUGGUUGCAGCAAUUGAAGAACCCAACACAAUACCUGCAAAUCAGCAUACAUCCCUCUGUUAUAUCCCGUCUUAAAUUAUUGAAGCUAAAAGGGAAAUUUCAUUUACCUGCAAUCAUUAGCCUUUCUCCCAAACCUGCCAAGCAUUUAAAAUUAUUCAGCUUUGAUACAUGGGAAAUCUAAGAAAAGGGCUCACUGUAAGUUUACAACAUUAAGCUUCACGUUGAUGCAGGCUAAUGAAUUUUUUAACGUACGUUGUACAAUUAUAAUAGUUAAAACAUACCUAUAUGGUGCUUGGGGAUAUAAAAACACUCGGUUUGUUCCUUGGUGCUAUUAUUGUUGGUCAAUCUACAUCCCCUUCCUUGAGCUUCGCAAUCACCACAGUCUGGUUUAUACCAACGUAACUGAAAACGGAUACCAUAAGGAGAAAUGGGUGUUGAGAAGUUGCGAAAGUAGCUGCAAUUCAACAGGUUGAGUCCAUAAUAAUUUUCAUCAGAAGCAAAAGCUAUAAUUUAGGAGCCAGGGGUGCUUAAGCAAGCGACUCUAUAUCUUUUAUACAAAGCCUUCUCUUGGCUUAAACAUUCGAACAAGGUAUAGUUGGAUUCAGCUGGUUGGGAUCUAUAAUCUUUUAGGCCGCUGAAACCUGGUUGUUCCUCCGCGAAUGGAAAGGCAGAUAAAUUGAGAUCUAAAAGCUGCUGCCAGAGGCAACGGCCGGGAACGUAGAAGUCAAUCCGUUGAGCUUCAUAAUCUAUGUGCUUCACCAAUAGCUUCAGCGAACGUGGUAUCUUCAGCAGGGUCUGUUUGUUUUCUGAGCAGGAAAGCUGAAACCCAGGAUGAUGAUAGCCGCAGUGGGGAGACUGCUUGCCUUCUAAACGGAAGGGGAAACGGACAGGUGGAUCCUGGUGGUUGCACCGCCGCACCUUGCAGUCGUCUUGGAUUGGCACUGCUUCUGCAACAUUCACAGCUAAGAUAAAGCAGAAUAACGAGUAAAUUAACAUUGUUCUUACUAACUUGUGAGCCCCUGAAGUGAAACGGGCUUUAAAUAGUUUCAUUGACAUAGGUGGUUCAGCCCUUGAGAGUUCCAAUUAUGCACGCAACGCAGCUGCUGCUUUACUACAUAGCUUUGUCUCGUUUAACAGGGUCUUCAACUCUUCGUCCUCUCUUUGUCCUCUUUUAUGAGUAAAUGUUGGACAUGUUUGAUUGUUAGCAACCCUUUCUAACCUUGUUACUAAUUUUCUUUUAUUCCCGUUAGUUGUAGUAAAAUUUGAGGAAAAAACACUGAACAUGAGAAUGAAUACCGAUUUGCUGUUGUGAUCAUAGUGGGGUCAGCUUGACUGACUUUUGUUUUUCCACCUUCGUUUCACUACAUUUUGUUUGGUAUGACUAAGAAGUUGACUGACUUUUAUGGGUUCUUUUUAAUGUCUAUCGUUUCUUUUCUAAUGUAGGUGGUUUUUUUCUCACUUUCCUUUUUCUAAUUUAUCUUUUAUUUUUGGAUUUUAAUUAAAAAUGGCAAAACUCGAAUCAUAUGUUUUUAAAUUACUUAUUUUAGAUACAACAAAUUUUUUAAAAGUGGAUACAGGACAAAAUGAGAUGAUUUUUUUCACAUGAGUAUGAAACAAUUAUAGUCCCUAUCUCGAAAUAAUCUUUUACCUUUCUUUGUAUAUAAUUAUUAAAAUGAUAAAAAUGUAAUAAUAUAUUAUAGGAAAAAAUUCAUAUGUUUUAUAUUUAUAUUUUUAAAAAAUUAUGUUUAAAUGCUUACUUGUCUUAAAAAAAAGUAAAAUUAUUAAAAUAACUAGAAAUAAAAAUUAAAUUAAAGCAGAGCGAAACAAGGUGAGAUGGGAUGGGGAUGAAUGCUUUUAAUAUAUAUGCUGUGAUAGCGAUUUUUCAGAUUAUACAUUCCAAGUGGGGCGAGGCGGGUGGUGGAGUAAAGCAUGUCAACUGUGGAGCGAUGAUGGAUUUGACAACAUUUAACCUGUCUUGCUCCAUUGCAUGAUGCUUAAUAGGGUCUUCUUUUUUUAUUAAAUCAUCACAAUCAAUUUUGUAUUGAUACUGUUCAGAUCAACCAAAUCGAUUCAUUUAAGUAAUAAACCGAAACAAUAAAAUCUGCGGAUUAAAGCCUGUAAUCAAUGUGCACAGUAUCGCCCAAUGAGGUCAAUUGAUCAAAUGGGGCUCUUUUAACCCACUUGAAUUGGCAUGAUUAAUGGAACACAUGGAGAAGCCCAUCCACUUGAAGCAUUGGUGGCUUAGUGAAAUACUUUAGUAAAACUAGAGUUACCAUGGUGAAUAUUUGUAAUCCUAAGGGAUUAGAUUGUAUAGAGCUUAAAUCCCUUCGAACUCUCAUUUGUAGAUAGGUUUUAAUCUUGAUUGUUGAUGUAAUUUAAAUUGAGUUGUUGCAUCAGAGAGAUCUCAACUAUAAAUAAAGGUUUCCCCCUUCAUUUGCAAUCACUCAAUGUUUUUUCACUCAAAGUUACUAAAUAUAAUUGAGAGCAUUUACUCAAACAUACAUUACUUUCUUGUGGUUUCUCUAGUUCUUUCAUUGCUUCUUCACUUUUGUGUUUGCUUCCGCUAAGUUUUGGUGCCUUAGAGAAUUUCCUUGUGAUUUCUUACUUUUUGAGAUUUAGGUGGACUUAGGCGAAUUUAAAGCUAAGUUCUUGCCCAAUGUUGCACAGUUUGCCAGACUAAAGUUCUAGCCUUGUGACAGUUGGUAUCAAGAGCUAGUGAUUGGUAAGGCGUUAAUUGAGAUGGAGAAAGAAGUAAAUAAUCAAGAGCUCGUGACCGUUGGCAUCACGAACUAGUGUUUGGGUAGGAAAGCUAGUAGAUCAAGGGAUAUAUUGUUAGGUUUGGAAGGUUGAGUGACCAACUUCAAGGAAUUCAUGGGUGGCAUGAAGGAAACACUCAAAGUAGUUAAGGGACACACCACAGAGCUGGACUUAGUGAAAGAGUAACUCAAGGGAUAGGUGGCAGAGGCUCUCAGUACUAGUGUGGACGCACUGCAAGGGGUUCUCAAUACCUCUGUGGGUAAGUUGACAAAGAGAGGUGAUACUCUUAAGGACGUGGUGACAAAUUUGAAGGAACAAAUUGAAUAUUUCAAGAAGGAGCUUGUUAUCUGUAAAAUUGCUUUAGGUAAUGACGUGUUGGCUACGAUACCCAAGCCUAAGGUCGAUACCUUCAAGCCGAAAGAAUUUAAGGGGAUGAGAUCCGAAAUAGAUGUGAAUAACUUUUUAUAAGGAAUGGAAUAAAACCUUCGUGCUAGAGGCAUCAAAGAUGCUGCUACUAAGGUAAAUAUUGCAUCUAUUGUAACAGCUCGAUUUAUGGGUCUAGUCAGAGCAGUGGUUUCGGGACCACAAAUCCGAAGUUAAAAUUCUUAUUUUAUUAUUUUAAUAUCUACAGUAUGAUAUUAUUAUUGUGUAAAAAUUUCGUGAAGAAAUUUUAUCAAUUGGGUGCUUAAUUUGAUAAAAAGGACUAAAUCGCGUAAAGUGCGAAAGUUGCAUUCUAUAUGUAAAGGUGUCUAAUAGCUAUAGAAUUUUAAAUUGAAGGUCCUUAUGUGAUAAAUAACCCAUUAUUGAGAUAUUGGAUGUUAUUAGAGUGGCAUUUGGUGUAGUUAUUAGGGUUAUUAAAGGUUAAAUGAGUAAAACGACAUUAUAUGUUAAAUUAAAUAAAACAAAUUGUGUCAUCUUCUUUCACUAUCCAUCUUCACCAAAAUUUCAACCUAAAAUCAGCCAUGGGAGAGCUUGUUAUUCUGCCAAACUUUGAAGACAAAUUGGUGAGUGGUUUUUGCUUGGUUUUUAAUAAUUUCUAUAUUUUUGAUAUCGUUGCUUCGUAAUCUAGCUAACCCGUACCUCCGUUUCUAAAACUGUUAAAGAUUUUUUGAAUUUCCAUUGUUGAAUACUUGAGCUCUUUGAUAUUUUUUGAUGAAAUAUGAAUAUUUUAUGUUAGAUUUUCAUCUUUUAUAAAGUGAUUUUUGAUAAAAAUGUCAAUUAGGGAUUAAAUUGUGAAAUGUGGAAAUUUAGUGGUUAAAAUGUGAAAUAAAUUGAAAAUAUGGGCUGCUAGUGAUAUAUGGAAAAUUCAGCUAGCUUGGAUUUGUGUUUAAUUUCAUAAAAUUGUGAUUUUAUGUUAUAAGGACUAAAUUAUAAAAAUGUGAAAUUAUAGGGGUAAAAGUGUAAAUAUUCUUUAAGGUAAAUUUUGGAUUAAAUUUAAUUGAGAGAUAAUUAAAUAAGCUUAUUUUGAUUAUAUUUAGAUCGAGAAAAGUGAAAUACGGAUCUAGAUUGGGGAAAAGAUAAAGUAUCGGACCAGUCAAUUCGUUCCGUCGUUUUAGCAAUCGAGGUAAGUUCGUGUAAUCAAACUUCAGUGUAUAUUUAGGUAAUUGAUGAAUGAUAGUAUGAAUUUAUUCAUAUAAUCAAUUUAAUUAUGGAGCUUAAAUUAAACGUUCGAUAUAAGUAAAAAUGUAGGAUCAAACACAAUCGUUUCGCAACGAAAGACGAAUUGGCAGAAAAAACCAUGGUUGGACCAUGGCAUUACAUGAUUUCGUAUAAGACCAUAGCUGGGCUAUGACAUCGAUAUAUGAGACUUUGUGUAAGACCAUAUCUAGGAUAUGGCAUCGAUAUAUGUGAUUACGUGUAAGACCAUAUCUGGAACAUUGGCAUCGAUAUAUGAUUCGUGUAAGACCAUAGCUGGGCUAUUGGCACCGAUAUGUGAUAACAUGUAAGACCAUAUGUGGGAUAUGGAAUUGUAUGUGAUAUACGAGACUUUCGAGUAUCCUUAACGAUUAUGAAUGGUUCGUCACGCAAAGUUAAGACAAGAAUGAAAGUUCAAUUGAAUUAAGCAAAACAGGUACGUUCAGAACCUAUGUGAGAGUUAAAUGAAGGUAAUUUAAUGAGAAUUAUUAGUGUAUAAUUAUAUUUUAUGCCAAAAUGUGUUUAUUUGGCUAUAGUGAGGUAUGAAUUGAAUGAUAUGUGUGAUAUGAGCAAUGAUUGUGUUAAUUAUAUGAAUAUGGCACAUUGAGUGAGAAUUACAAUUAUUUAACGAUAAUUUACAUGAUUCUUUCGGCUAAAGAAAUGUGAUGAAUAAUGGAUCAAAUAAAGUUAUACAUUGUUGCUUAUGUAUUUGUAAAUGAGAAUGAAGUGAUAAGAAGUUUAAGAGGCAUACGAGCUUUGAAAGGAAUAAACUCGUGGAAAUCUUGUUUGAUCAUAUGCAUGAAUAUGAGGUAGAAUUGUGAAAUCAAAUGAGUUAUAUUAUGACUUGAUGCAAUUGCUUGUAAUGUGGUUAUUUAGUAAUAAGAGUUAUGAUAUUACAAGCUUACUAAGCUUUAUAGCUUACCUGGUGUUAUUUUUUUAUGUUUUACAGUGUUUGGGACGUUCGCUCGGGUUGGAAGUCGACAGAGAUUGCAUCACACUAUCCAGCUAAUAAUUUCGGUAUUUAUAUACUUUGUGACUUGGUUAUAUGGCAUGUAUAUGCUAUGGUUAUUUUGGUUUACUAUGGAAAGUGUAUUUGGCCAUAUGGUUUGGCUUGUUUUAAGUAUGUAUUUGAUUAUUUUGUAUAGGCUAGUUUUUAAUAUGUUUGGUUUUGAUGAUAUGUAUAUAUUCAGCCAUGCAAAAAUGGCAUGAUUAUAAUGCUAAUGGUUGUGUAAAUUUGAUCAUGGUAUAAGCACAUUUCUGUAAGUAUGUCCCUUGACAUGUAUGAAUGGUGUUCUGGUUAUAUGUCUUGGUUGAGUAAUGAUAUGAAUGACUUAUAAAUAGCUCAUUUAGUAAGCUUGAUACAUGAUUUAAUUUGUAUUUGUGAUUGGUCUUGUGAUUUGGGUUGGAAUGGUUAAGUAGGCAUAUGUGGUAUGCUUGUUUGAGUGAGUUUUUAGGUACAGCUCAUGAUGGAAAUGGUAUGAAUUUUUGGAGGCUAAUUUGAUGAUCAAAUAUAGGAUUAAAUGAUUUAGUUGUGUAUAUGAAAUUUUGGCAUGGUACAUAGUAUAUGAAAUUGGCAUGUUUAAAUUGUAACAGCCCGAUUUUGGGUCUAGUUGGAACAGUGUUUUCGGGACCACAAAUUCGACGAGGAAAAAUGUAAUGGCCUGAAUUUUUAGGGGUGUCGGAACGGUGAUUCGAGAUCACUAAAUCCAAAAAAAUGAGUAGAAAAUAUUAUUAAUUUAGUGAGUAUAAGUAAAUGUGAAGUUAAGAAAAUUUUUGAAAUAGUGAAUAGUGCACUAGAAAUAAAUAUUAAAAUAAUUAGAAUAAAAAAACGAGGUAUCGAGACCUCAGAGAUUUUAAACCGAGCCAUAAAUAUUUUUAUAAAUAUUUAUGGAGUGUUAAAAAGUUAGUAUUAAAUUUUCGUUAAGAAAUUUUAAAGUUUCGAUAAUUAAUUGAACAAAAAUGACUAAAUUGUAACAAAUGCAAAAUUAUAGGAAAUGAUUAAAUAGCUUAAAUGAUAAAAGGAAGAGGGCUUAAAAAGCAAAUAGACCCAAUGUCUGGACGUCAAAGGCAUGAAAUCAACAAGAAAGUAAGGAGAAUUAAGGGCAAAAUUGGAAUACUACAAAAUUACUUAAUAAAGCUAGGAUCAAAGUGGAAUUAUCUAGAUUUCUCUUUAUUUUUCUGCAUUCUCAUCAGCUAAAACACCAUAGAAGGGUUUCCUUAAGUUGGUUUUUCAUAUUUUUACUGCAAGUAAGUUCAAUUCUUGAUUAUUUCUUGAAAUUUUUGUGUUUUUGUGACUUUUACAACUAGGCCCACUUGUUGAAUUCAUUAGUUUUUGAUUCUAUGAAAGAAGUUGAAAGUUGCUAUGAAUAUGUGCUGGAAGUAUAUGAUGAUUUAGCAUGGAAUUAGAGCUUUAAAUUGUUUCUAUGCUGAUUUUAUUGAAAGAAUUGAAUAAAAAGUGAAUAUUUGGGACCUAAUAGUAAAAGAGUUUGAAGUUAGGGUUUUAUGAGGAAAUUCUGAAUUUCAAUAGUUAUGAAUAACUUAUAAUGUCUAAGUAAAGUACUAAUUGAGAAAAAUUAGCUUAAUUGAGGGGUUAAUUAAACAAUGACUGAAUUGUAUGAAUUGUAAAUUUUGAAAUAUAAUAAAUUUUGUGAGACAAGGUCAGAAUGAUUUCGGGUUCCCCUGUUCUGACUUUGGAAAAUCAUCAAAAAUUUAAGAAAAAUAAUUAGGGGCUUAAAUUUAUAUAUUUAAAAUCCUGAAUAAGUCUAUUUUCAAGAGAAACAAACGGAAACAUCAUCCGAAUCCCGUAAGAGGAAAUAAUUAUUUUUUAGUGAAGAAGGGUCGGAACUGUCUAAUAGUGAAACAGGGGAGAAUUUAAAGAAUAAACUGUACUUAUUGGCUAAGCCAAAAAUUCUAAAACUUUUAUGGUAAAAAUAUAUAUGAGUCUAGUUUCUGGGAAAAUUAACGGAUCUUAAUUUGGAGUUUCGUAGCUCAAGAUAUAAAUAAUUUAGUGACUCUGACUCGGAUAGACAGCUUUGAAUUUACUUAUAAGUAAAUAGUGAAAAUGUAGUUAAUGUUAUUUAAGUGUGUUAUAUACAUUAAAGAUGUGAAAUAGAGAGGAGGAGGAGGAAAAUUAGAAAAUAUAUGAAUGACUUGUGUAUAAAUCGGUCAUAUAUUCGAUCAUAAUCGAUAAAUGUUGAAUUAGAAAUGAUGUAAUGUUUUAUUUCAAAUAGUUACUAUGAGAUUGAUGAUGAUCUGACUUUAGCUAAAUUAAAAGCUAAAGCGAUAUUUUCAUUGCAAAAUUAAUAAUUUUAUAAAUGUGUUAAUGAAUAGCAUAAUCGAUAAAUUUGAGUUAAAUGGUAAAUACGUAUUAGUAUUGAACUUAAUGAUAUUGAAUUGUAUGAGAAGUAAAUGGAAAUUUCUAUUGCUAGUGAUAUGAUUUUAAUUAAAAGAAUUAUUGUGAUAUUAAAAUGUAUAUUGGAUUGAGAAAUUGAUUUGAAUUGUGAACAUGAGAAAUUAUGAAUUGAAUGAAAUGGAAAUGAAGCAUUAAAUUGUUAAGACUUGUGAAUUGCAUGAAUAUAAAUCGAGUCUCGUAGGCCCUAUUUAUUAUGAAUAUAAUAUUUAGAGGAUAUAUUGUGAAGAAUUAUAAAAGCAUGUUAAAAAUUUAAAAGUUUUAAUUUAGAUGAAAUUUUAUAAUAUGGUUAAAUACGUUUACAAGUGUAUGUGUUCUAGUAAUGCAUCACACCCUAUUCCGGCGACGGAUACGGGUAAGGGGUGUUGCAUAAAUUCAGUUAUUUUACUUAGAAAAUUACUAAAGUUAGUCGAGUAAGUAGUGUAUGGAUUGGUUAUACUUACAAUUGAGAUUCGAUCAUUUGGGUAAUGCUUGUAGGCAUUUGUAUAAUUUUGCCCAUUUUGCAGCAUAGUAUAGUUCAACUUAAGCUAGUAUGUGCAUGUACAAAGCUCAUAACUAAUAUAUUUGAUAUUAGUUAAUAUUAUGAAUUGAUAUGGCUAGUUGUGGCUUAAAUAUGCACACGUGGGAAAGCUUAUAGAAAGGAUGUAUUGUUGUAAGCUAAGUAUAUGAAAGUGACAUAUGAUUGAUACUUAUUUAGGUAUCUAAAUGCCUUAUUAUAUAGUCAUAAGGUUCGACUAAUAGAAUUAUAAUGUAUAUGUAUUAUGAUAUGAUGUUUUAUAAUAGUAAAAUAUGUUUGGUUAGUUGGUUAAGUGGUACACAUGUAUGAUUGUUAUAGAUUGAUGACCAUAUGGUUUGAAUUUGGUAAUUAUGGAACUAGUUCAAUUUGGUUUUUCGUAAGUUACCUUGAUGAAAAAUUUGAUUUGGUAAUCGGAAUGAAAUUGGUUGAAUUUUGAUAUAUGCUUUAUUUGUGAUAUAUGACUAUUAAAGUAUGAUUGAUUUGGAUUGGCUUUAUGAUUCAUAUGUUCGAAUUUAGUAUAAAUGAUUUGUGGACAUUCAAGUUUAAUAAUGUUAUAAUUGUAUCUUGAUAAUUCGGUACAUGAAAGUAAAAUAUGACUUUGAUGUAUGUUAGUUAAUAUUACUUAUUGUAUGUUUAGAAAUGAAUGACUCUCUGAGCUGUAUUUUGAUUGGUAAUGCCUCGUAACCCUAAUCUAGUGAUGGAUACGAGUUAGGGGUGUUACAUCUAUGUAUUUUAUUGAUGUCGCUCUUUUAUAGUGACAUUGUAGGUCCACAGAUGAGAAACAAGGUGGAGCCACAAUUGGGACUUGGGAGGAGUUUCAAAAAGAAUUCAAGGGGCAAUUUUACCGAGAAUAUGUCGAGGAUGAGGCUCAGGUUAAGUUGCGUCGACUUACGUAACAAGGCAUAAUCAGGGAGUAUAUGAAGGAGUUUAGUGGAUCAUGUUCUAUAUUUUUUAUUUGGGUGAGAAAAAGACAUUUUUCUCCCUUAUGGAUAGGCUGAAACCUUGGGCGGAGCAACAAUUGCAACGUCGAGCAGUCAAAGAACUUAUCAAAGCAAUGAUCGUAGCAAAGUCCUUAAUUAAGUUUGUUCCGAGGAAAGACGAGUUCAAGUCUUCCAAGACCAAUGAGACGGGUAAUGUUGUGGGAGACAAAGAAUGACAUGUUAAAAAUGACAAUGGUGAAAAUGGUGGUAAUGAGAAACUACAAAAUAAGAAGUGAAUCCGGAAGGCCCCUAUAUUAUAGGGAUUAUAUCAAAUUAGUCUCUCUAUAAAUGUACAAUUUAGUCAAAAAGAAUCAAAUAAGCCUUAAUUGUAAUAGAGUGAUCUAUCAAGUAUAGUCACCUUUUCUAAAACCAUUAGUUUGAAGUCAUUUUCAUUCUCUCUUCUUGAUAUGUCUUCUUGUUUUUUUUAAUUAUUUUGAAGGAUUAUCUUCAAUCCCAACCUUUAUUUUUUAAAUGUCUUCUUUUUGGUUAUUAUAAAAAAUCAUCUUCAAUCACAAUCAAAUUGGAAUCUUCAUUCUUUUUAAAAUUUUUGAGGUAACUAAUAGUCCUUAAACUUCUUCAAGCUUUUGUAACACCCCUUAAAUUUUACAGUAUGGUAAACAACACUAUUCUAAGAAUCACUACAAUGAAUUUUUGAGAAAAUUCAAUAAUGAGAAAAUAAAGAGAGUUUUUAGAAGGGACUAUAAUUAUUUAUUUUUGGAAAUCAAUGAAGUAAAUUUGGUAUGUGGAAUUGUGAAAAAAAUGACUAAAUUGUAAAAUUAAGAAAGUAAGAGAACUAAAGUAUAAAGUAACUAAUUUGAGAAAUUAUGGAUUGAUAAUGAUUUGUAAAUAUUAAGCCGACAUGAGACAUGUAUUAUCAAGGAAAAGCAAGUUUGGACUUAAUUGAAUAAAAUGAAAAGUAUAGGGCUCAAAUUACAAACUUCUCAUUUUGACUAGAAUAUAGGUAAAAGUAUCAUUUUCACCAUUUAUGGACUUAUUUAAGGGAUAUAUUUGAAUUUUGAUUUUUUGUUUGGAUAAGUGCUCAUUGUUGUAAAGAAAUUGUACAAAUAAACAAAAAGAAUAAUAUGAUAAGUUUGCCAUAAUCGGAUACUUUAGUCAUUUAUCAAGUACUUUACGAUGGAAAUAUUAUUUUAUUGGUAUUUUUAAUGUAUGGAAUUAAUUUGAAUUUUUAUGAUGAUAUGAGAGAAGAUAUAAAGUGUUAAGUGUCAUAUUUGGUAUUAAUUAAAGAGAAGUGAUAAGAGAAGGGACAAAGGUACAAUUUUACCAUUAAAAAUAUAUUUUGGGACUUAUCAUGAAUAUUUUAAUGAAAUUAUGGACUUUAUUUUAAUUGUGUUAUUAUGAGAAAAUUUAUGGUCAUAUAUUCCGGAUUUUUCAUUCAUGAAUCAAGGUAGAUUACUUGAGGUGAAUCUAGGGAGGCUGGCAGGGGCCCCGACCUCCCCUAAAAUGAAAAAUUGUUGUUUUAGCCUUUUAGAAAAUUUUAAAAUUUUAAAUUAAUAAAUAUAAAAUUGCACUUUUGGUGCCUCCUAAAAUUAUAAAAAUUUAAUUUAAUCCUUUAAAAAUUAUAAAGAUAUAGACUAUUAAAAAUUAAAAUUUCAUUUCGGCUCUCCCUAAUUUUUUUUUUUGGUUUCACCUAUGUAGACUACCCAUUUAAAAAUUUGUUUGACUUUGACUAAUCAAAUUAUGAUUUUUUUCCUCUCAUGUGUCGUCCCUCUCUCCUUAAGAAUUGAAAAUAUAUGUCGAAUAAUAUAAAUAUGAAAAUUGCCUCAACCUACUGCAAUUAUCUAAGGAGUAACCACUUCCUCAAGCACUCAUCUAAUUUUUCUAUAAUUUUCAGUAACUUCAAUAACUUCAAAUAUUUGUUGAGGUUUAGGAUGAAUAUUGUGAAGUGUUUUUUUAGGGAUAAUGAAUACAAAGCAAUUUAUGAGAAAAAAUGGAAUAUUACAACAAACACCUAAAAACAGAAACAAAUGUUGGCUAGAAAAUAUAAAAGUUUAAGCCAAUCGAGUCUUAGCUCGAUUGGUAUAGGUAUGUUGACAAUGCAGGAAGACGUGAGUUCGAGUGCGAUGAAAUGCAUUAUCUUCCUAUUUAUGGGUUGGGAUAGGACUAUGAGUAGUUCUAGAUAUUGUGUCAAAAAGAGCAGAUAUGAUCAGAACUUAUAAUGAGAUUGUUCAAAAAAAAGAAUUUUAUCGGGUGUUAGUAUAAGUGGCAUAAAACCAGUGAAUAGAGUUAACAAUUGAACCUGAAUUUUAAAUUUUAAAAAAUACAAGUACUAAAUUCCUAAAAAUACAAAGACCAAGUUCUUAACUUUCAAAAAGUACAAGGACUAUAACCACAUUUUAACCUUUCAUUAAUUAAAGGUUUGUCAAAGUUGAAGCUUAAUUCAAUGAUCUAUGUUAUAAAAUAUAUCUUAACCCGGCCACCUUAAGCUUUUAUUAUGGUCUAUUAAUUUAUGUUCACGACCACCUUCAACUUUUUUAUGAUCCACUAAUUUACAAUCAUAAACUUAGACUUUCUUACAGUCUAUUGAUUUAUGAUCAUGACCUUUUACUUACGAGAUUUUAUUAAUCUCACGGUCCGCUAAUUUACGAUCAUGACAUUUUACUUACAAGAUUUUAUGAAUCUCGCAAUUAGCUGAUUUACGAUCACAAAAUUUAACUUUCUUAUAAUCCACUAAUUUACAAUCACAACAUUUUACUUACAAUUUGCAAUAGUCAAUAAAUUUUCGAGUUCAAACUUGCUUGGUAAACCCUUAGUUACAUGUAUGCGUGUAAAUUUAUCUCCAAAGACUCAAUUUAUAACUCUACUUCAAUAAGUUAGGAGACAAAUUGUUAUAAAAUAAUCUUAACCUGACCCAAGAUCCAAUUCAAAAUCCAAGCCGGAAGAAACCACCUUAUAUACAUUUCUAAAUACCCUCUUAAGAAUACCGACUCGAGAGAAUAUCUUUUAUCUUCCUCUUCACCCUAACAUAUUUUUUCUCCCUACCCCACCCAACCAGAAACUGUAACAACAAUCUAUAUUGUAAACUGGGAAUAUCAAAUUGCUCUAAUCAUGCAAAUAAGUUGUUAGUUUUAGUUGCCUUAAAACAACUUUUGUACCGAUAUUUAUAAAUUUAUUUAUAUUUUAUCUAUAAUAUACCAACAGAACUUUAUGGUGUUCAAGUAAAAGCACCAAGAAAAAUGCAAUCAAAUGUCUGACCCAACUCCAUCCCCAACCAGUGGUUAAACCAAAUCCUUCAGUUAGCAAUUCCAGAUUCAGACAAAACACACGACUGUGCUACGUCUUUCCUAACUCGACCACAAUCACACUAAUGUUGUCUUUGCUACCCCUAGACAUUGCGAGUUCAACCAACACCGCCGCUGCUUCAGAAGCGCGGUUUUGAUUCAAAACAUCAGCUGUUUUGCUCCUUAUUUGGCCGUUCAGACAUCGCCUUACCACUCGACACGCCACCUCAUUCGAUACCACAUCCCAAAGUCCGUCACUAGCCAGUAUCAGGAACUCGUCACCAUUCGUUACCUCUCGUACGGUCACUUCCGGUUUGCAUAUCACAAAGGGUUUGAGGUACUGAUUACCUGCUUGCAUUCCAUUCCAAAUUACAUUACAUAUGAAUAGAAUAUUAUGUACGUAAUUGCAAAUAUAUUUGGUUACCUAUGGAUCUUGAAGUGGCCAGUACUCCAAGCACUCGAUAUCCAUUCCAGUUUAUGACCCUUCCACCAGCAGCUUCAACUCUCUCCAACUCAUCAGGCCUGUCGGGCUUUGCAAAAACAAAGUGUCAACAUGGGAGGCCACCACCACUACCUGCCCCUUUAUCUUCGUCCUUAAGCUCAGUAUAAUAUGCUAUUGAAUAAUUUUUUUUUUCAUUCCAAUAAAAUCCGUAGGACCAAGUUCUAUACUUAUAAAAGCUGUACAUCGCAAUAAUAACAGUUUGGAAGGAGCGACAAUAGAUAGUAUAUAAACAUAAUGAUUAAGCAUGCAUCAAUAUAGGUCAAAGUAGAGGCAAAGAAAACAAGUGUAAAGAAAAAGGGGGCAAAUUGAAAGAGUUGUAAAGUUAAAUUAGUAUAUAAAUAUAAGCAUCAUCCUUGAUUACCCUAAAGGGAUGGCGAGCUUAAUCCUCUUAUUGCUAAUUAGACAUUAUUUGUGGAAAACGAAGAGCUUCAGUCUAGCUUUGAGAUUCAGAUACUUCCACUCAUUUCCCAUAUAUAUGAAGUUACACCUCCAUCGAAUUGAAGAUUUCAUGGUUUCAUAGUUUCCAAUUAAAUCUUUAAGAAUAUUCAACAGGUUGAGUCCAUAAUAAUUUUCAUCAGAAGCAAAAGCUAUAAUUUGGGAGCCAGGGGUGCUUAAGCAAGCGACUCUAUAUCUUUUAUACAAAGCCUUCUCUUGGCUUAAACAUUCGAACAAGGUAUAGUUGGAUUCAGCUGGUUGGGAUCUAUAAUCUUUUAGGCCGCUGAAACUUGGUUGUUCCUCCGCGAAUGGAAAGGCAGAUAAAUUGAGAUCUAAAAGCUGCUGCCAGAGGCAACGGCCGGGAACGUAGAAGUCAAUCCGUUGAGCUUCAUAAUCUAUGUGCUUCACCAAUAGCUUCAGCGAACGUGGUAUCUUCAGCAGGGUCUGUUUGUUUUCUGAGCAGGAAAGCUGAAACCCAGGAUGAGGAUAGCCGCAGUGGGGAGACUGCUGGCCUUCUAAACGGAAGGGGAAACGGACAGGUGGAUCCUGGUGGUUGCACCGCCGCACCUUGCAGUCGUCUUGGAUUGGCACUGCUUCUGCAACAUUCACAGCUAAGAUAAAGCAGAAUAACGAGUAAAUUAACAUUGUUCUUACUAACUUGUGAGCCCCUGAAGUGAAACGGGCUUUAAAUAGUUUCAUUGACAUAGGUGGUUCAGCCCUUGAGAGUUCCAAUUAUGCACGCAACGCAGCUGCUGCUUUACUACAUAGCUUUGUCUCGUUUAACAGGGUCUUCAACUCUUCGUCCUCUCUUUGUCCUCUUUUAUGAGUAAAUGUUGGACAUGUUUGAUUGUUAGCAACCCUUUCUAACCUUGUUACUAAUUUUCUUUUAUUCCCGUUAGUUGUAGUAAAAUUUGAGGAAAAAACACUGAACAUGAGAAUGACUACCGAUUUGCUGUUGUGAUCAUAGUGGGGUCAGCUUGACUGACUUUUGUUUUUCCACCUUCGUUUCACUACAUUUUGUUUGGUAUGACUAAGAAGUUGACUGACUUUUAUGGGUUCUUUUUAAUGUCUAUCGUUUCCUUUCCAAUGUAGGUGGUUUUUUUAUCACUUUCUUUUUUUUCUAAUUUAUCUUUUAUUUUUGGAUUUUAAUUAAAAAUGGCAAAACUCGAAUCAUAUGUUUUUAAAUUACUUCUUUUAGAUACAACAAAUUUUUUAGAAGUGGAUACAAGACAAUGAGAUGAUUUUUUCCACAUGAGUAUGAAACAAUUAUAGGCAUUGUUUGCUCUACUCACCUUAUCUCGAAAUAAUCUUUUACCUUUCUUUGUAUAUAAUUAUUAAAAUGAUAAAAAUGUAAUAAUAUAUUAUAGGAAAAAUUCAUAUGUUUUAUAUUUAUAUUUUUAAAAAAUUAUGUUUAAAUAUUUUCUUGUCUUAAAAAAAGUAAAAUUAUUAAAAUAACUAGAAAUAAAAAUUAAAUUAAAGUAGAGCGAAGAAAGGUGAGAUGGGAUGGGGAUGAAUGCUUCUAAUAUCUAUGCGGUUAUAGUAAUUUUUCAGAUUAUACAUCCAAAGUGGAGAGAGGUGGGUGGUGGAGUAAAGCAUGUCAACUGUGGAGCGAUGAUGGAUUUGACAACAUUUAACCUGUCUUGCUCCAUUGCAUAAUGCUUAAUAGUAUGCCUUCUUUUUUUAUUAAAUCAUUACAAUCAAUUUUGAAUUGAUACUGUUCAGAUAAACCAAAUAGUUUCAUUUAAGUGAUAAAUCGAAACAAUAAAAUCUGUGGAUCAAAGUCUAUAAUCAAUGUGCAUAGUAUCGCCCAAUUGAUCAAAUAGGACUCUUUUAACCCUUUUAAAUUGGCAUGAGUCAUAGAACACAUGGAGAAGCCCAUCCACUUGAAGCAUUGGUGGCUCAGUGAAAUACUCCGGUAAAACUAGAGUUACCAUGGUGAAUAUUUGUAAUCCUAAGGGAUUAAAUUAUUAACUUAAUUGCAGAAAUACCAAAAUUCAAGAAUAUUUUAGUAAUUUUCUAUUUUCCUCGAAUUUCCACCCAAUCUUGAUCUAAAUUGAUAUUUCAUUCAAUUUAUUAACUUAAAUAAUAAAACAAUUCAUUUCAUGCAAUUUGGUCACUUUUUGACAUUUUUACCAAUUUACCCUUAAAAUAUUAUUUUUAUUCAAUUUAGUCCUUGAACCUAAAACAUGCAAAUUGGUUAUUUUUAAUUAAAACUCAUGCUAGUUGAACAAUCAUUUAUUUUCCUCCUCCUCCUCUCCAUUCCACAUCCUUAAUGUAUAAUAUGCUUAUAUGUAACAUUUCUAUAAUUCCACCAUUUAUUUAUAUAUUAAUUCAAAGCUAUCAACUUGAGUCAUAGUCACUAAAUCAUUUAUAUCUUUAGCUACGGAACUCCGAAUUAAGAUCCGCUAAAUUCCUAUGAAACUAGACUCGUAUAUCUUCUUACCAUAAAAUUUUAAGAAUUUUUGGUUUAGCCAAUAAGUACAGUUUAUUUUUUAAAUUUUUUCCUAUUUCACUGUUUGACAGUUCUGAACCCUCUUGACUAAAAAUUAAUUAUCUCUUUUUACAGAAUUUGGAUGAUAUUUCCGUUUUUUUCUAUUGAAAAUGGAACCAUUAAUUAUUUUAAAAAUAUAAAUUUAAGCCUAUAAUUAUUUUUAUUCAAUUUUUUAUGAUUUUUCAAAUUCAAAAUAGGGGAACCCGAAUUCAUUCUGACCUUGUCUCACAAAAUUUAUUAUAUCUCAUGAUUUACAAUUCCAUUACUUACACCGUUUAUUCUAUGAGAAACUACACUUAAUAAGCUUUAAUUCCAUGUUUUUUUCAUCCUAUAAUUCGAUUUCCAAAAUUUAUGGUGAUUUUUCAAAUUUAACCUACUGCUGCUGUCCAAAACUGUUUUAGUGCAAGAUGUUGAUUACUAAGUUUAUAACUCCCUUAUUCCCUUUCUCUAUAAUAUUUCCCAUCAUUUUCACUUAUUUCCCUUCACUAAUAUAUCAAGAACAUAAGACUUUAUUUAAGAAAACUCUACUAUAACAUCAUUUCCAUACUUUUUCAACAAUAACAAACUUAAAAAUAUAUUGAAAUCUUGAAGUUCUUACCUUGUGCUAUUGAUUUCAAUCUUUAACUUGAUUUUCUCUCUCCUCCAGCUUCUUUUUCUUGAAUCUAACUUGACAUUCUAGCUCCCCAUUGUCUCUUUAUUAUUUUUCUCUCUUGGAAGCUAUGGAAAUUCUUUUGUUUUCUAGGUGAAAAUAGUGAAUUUUUGGUGAAAGGACCAAAUUGUAAAGAAAGAAAAACUUUCUUUCUUCUCUUCUCUUCUAACGUUGGUUGCAUGGAAAGAUGAUGAUUUUUCAUCAUCUUUCCUCCCUUUUAUAUUAAUCAUCUAAUAAUAAAAUAAUACUAAAAAUCUUAAUAAAAUAUUAAUUAAAUAACAUUUAUCUAAUUAAUUAAUUAAAAAUAUCACAAACAUCAUCAUUACCUUCUAGAAUUCUCUCUCUAUUUGACCAUUUUGCCCUUUAUAAUCUUUUGAAAUUUCAUUCUUGAGUCAUCACUUAAUUUGGAAAAGUUACAAUUUAGUCCCUCAAAGUUCCUCACUUUUUCAAUUUGGUCCUAAUUCAUCCAUUUUCCUUAGUUUCUAGAUUAUUCCACCCUUAAAAUAUUUACACUAUUUGUCCUUCAAAUUUUUCAUAUUUACACUUCAACCCCUUAAAUUUUGAGUAUUUACUCUUGGGCAACAAAACUUUUCUCACGUUUGCAAUUUAAUCCUUUAUUGAAUUAAUAUAUCAUAAUAUACUUCCCAAUGUUGACAUAACUCAAUAUUACCUUUUUUAUCACUUUAUUUCCUUAUUUUACUAUAUCAAUGAUAUUAUCUUACUUUAUUACUGUAGUAAAUUUCGGGGUAUUACACAGGGAGUAUAUGAAGGAGUUCAGUGGAUCAUGUUCCAUAUUUUUUAAUUGGGUGAGAAAGAGACAUUUUUCUCCCUUAUAGAUAGGUUGAAACCUUGGGCGAAGCAACAUUUGCAACGUCGAGGGGUCAAAGAUCUUACCAAAGCAAUGAUCGUGGUGGAGUCCUUAAUUAAGCUUGUUCCAAGGAAAGAAAAGUUUGAGUCUUCCAAGACCAAUGAGAUGGGUAUUGUUGUGGGAGACGAAGAAGGACAUGUUAAAAAUGACAAUGGUGAAAAUGGUGGUAAUGAGAAACUGCAUAAUGAGAACUGAAUCUAGGAGGCCCUUGUAUUAUAGGGAUUAGAUCAAAUUAGUCUCUCUAAAAAUGUACAAUAUAGCCAAAAAGAAUCAAAUAAGUCUUAAUUGUAAUAGAGUGAUCUAUACAGUCACCUUUUCUAAAACCAUUAGUUUGAAGUCAUUUAAUUAUUCUGAAGGAUUAUCUUCAAUCCCAACCUUUUUUAUUUUGAAAUGUCUUUUUUUUUGUUAUUAGAAAAUUCAUCUUUAAUCACAAUCAAAUUGGAAUAUUCAUUCUUUUUAAAACUUUGAGGUAAUUAAUAGUCCUUAAACUUCUUCAAGCAUUUGUAACACCCCUUAAAUUUUACAGUAUGGUAAACAACAUUAUUCUAAGAAUCACUACAAUGAAUUUUUGAGAAAAUUCAAUAAUGAGAAAGUAAAGAGAAUUUUUAGAAGGGACUAUAAUUAUUUAUUUUUGGAAAUCAAUGAAGUAAAUUUGGUAUGUGGAAUUGUGAAAAAAAUGACUAAAUUGUAAAAUUAGGAAAGUUUGAGAACUAAAGUAUAAAGUAACUAAUUUGAGAAAUUAUGGAUUGAUAAUGAUUUGUAAAUAUUAAGCCGACAUGAGACAUGUAUUAUCAAGGAAAAGCAAGUUUGGACUUAAUUGAAUAAAAUGAAAAGUAUAGUGCUCAAAUUACAUAUUUCCCAUUUUGACUAGAAUAUAGGUAAAAGUAUCAUUUUCACCAUUUAUGGACUUAAAGGGAUAUAUUUGAAAUUUGCUUUUUUUUUGGAUAAGUGCUCAUUGUUGUGAAGAAAUUGUACAAAUAAACAAAAAGAAUAAUAUGAUAAGUUUGCCAUAAUCGGAUACUUUAGUCAUUUAUCAAGUACUUUAUGUUGGAAGUAUUAUUUUAUUGAUAUUUUUAAUGCAUGGAAUUAAUUUGGAUUUUGAUGAUGAUAUGAGAAGAUAUAAAGCAUUAAGUGUCAUAUUUGGUAUUAAUUAAAGAGAAGUGAUAUAAUAGAAGGGACAAAAGGUACAAUUUUGCCAUUAAAAAUAUAUUUCUUGACUUAUCAUGAAUAUUUUAAUAAAAAUUAUGGACUUUAUUUUAAUUGUGUUAUUAUGAGAAAAUUUAUGGUCAUAUAUUUUAAAUUUUUUGUUCAUGAAACAAAGUGGACUACCAGAGGUGAAUCUAGGGGGGCUGGCAGAGGUCUUGACCUCCCUUAAAAUGGAAAAUUAUUGUUUUGGGCCUUUAGAAAAUUUUAAAAUUUUAAAUUAGUAAAUAUAAAAUUACACUUUUGUCCCCCUAAAAUUAUGAAAAUUUAAUUUAAUCCUUUAAAAAUUAUAAAGAUAUAGACUAUUAAAAACUAAAAUUUCAUUUCGGCUCCCCCUAAAAAUUUUUUUUGGCUUCACCCCUGUGGACUACCCAUUUAAAAAUUUGUUUGACUUUUGACUAAUCAAAUUGUGAUUUUUUUCCUCUCAUGUGCCGUCCCUCUCUCCUUAAGAAUUGAAAAUAUUUGUCGAAUAAUAAUAGAAAUAACAAAUCCUUCUUCGAGAUGUCCAGUGAUUUCUGUGUUCUUUUUUUUUAAUGAGAUAAAGGAAUUAAUCAAGAUGUGUGUGCAAGAAAUUGAAGAAUUUGGAAACAAGUGUAGAAGAAUUUUAGGAACAUUGUGGAGUAUUCAAUGAAAUUCUCAAGAGAAAAGAUAGACAUAUAUUGCCAAUCCAAUAAAAGUAAAAUGAGAUUCCGAAAAUGUUUAAUAAUGAAUCAUUUGUAAAGGAUGAAAGUGAAGUGAGAUUAUCUUGAAGUAGACAUUACGGAGGAAAUAGUACUCAUUAAAGCUAGAAAAAAAAAGUUAAGUGUUGAUCGUUGACACUAAGAAAGUGUAUCACAAAGGAAGUGCGAAGAAGAGAUACAAGUAUUCGAAGAUGGUAAUAAAGACUUACGAGGAUUGGAAAGUGAUAAUUAAUGGAAACCAUAUAAGAGAGGUGAAAUAUAACAUUCUAAAGCUUGACCUAGAAACCUAAUCGAAUUUGGAGUGUUAUUGUGGUCAUCAGAGCAACCUGCAUGAUCAAUCGUUCAUUCAAUCACAUUAAAAUAUAAAAAAAUUAGACAUACACACAACAAGUCAUUUAACAAAACUUAAUCAUAUAAUCAUUGAGUUCCUAAAUCAAAAUCAAAACACCCAAACUGACCAAUUAGCAAAUCCUAAGUACAUGUCAAACUAUACUAUUUCAAGGGUUUUUACAAAAUAAGAAUUGCGGAGACUCUGAGGCGAUGUCUGCUCUGACUCAAACUCACAAACUAUUUGAUCCAAAUAUUACCUAUGCACGGAAUUAAUAACCCGUACAUCGGGCUUUUCAGAGCUUGGUGGAGACCAAAACAGUCUAAACUACUAAUGCAUAUAAUUGAAAAUAAAAACAUUUUAAUCAAAUACAACUAUAUAUAUAUGCAAUAAUUCGAGGAGUGAAAGUCACACUCAAUAAAAAUUGUCAGAGACGCAAUACAAUCAUGAAUCAGUCACAAAAUAACAUUUAUGUAAUAGCCCAAUUUUGACCUUAAUCGGAUAUAGUGGUUUCGAAACCAUGAAUUCGAGUCAGAAAAAUAUUUUUUAUAUUAUUUUUAGUGUUUAUUAUAUUUUAAGUUAUAGGUGUGAAAAAUUCGUGUGGAAAUUUUAUUGUUUAAAGGUUCAAUUUGAUAAAAAAUGAUUUAAUCGCGUAAAAUAAAAAUUUAGAGGUUAAAUUUUAAAAGCACUUAUUUGUUGUUGUCUUUUUAAGUGGGAGGUCUAGAGAUGUAAUUAGACCAAAAUAUAGUUAGUGGAUGACAUAUGACAACAUUGUCCCUUACAUAUAUGUUUUAUAUAUUUAUUAUAAUAAGGUUAAUUAAGUAAUUUAAUAAUUAUAAUGUAUAAAUGUUAAAAUAAACUAAGAAAAGAUGAUUUUUAUCAUCUUUGAAAGCCGAAUGUGUAAGAGAACUCAUGCAUGGUUUCUUGUUGAAUGUUCGGCACUUUUAAAGACAAAUUAAGGUAUGGGUUGGUUUCAGUUUUUGAUAAUUUUUACGUUUUUGAGAUCGUUGUUUCGAAUACUAUCCGACCCAUGUUUGAAUUUUUAAUUUUGAUGAAUAUUUUGAGUUGUGCCAUUGAUGAACAUUUGUGUUAUGUGAUGUUUGAUGAUGAAUAAUGAAAGAUACAUUUUAGAUUAAUAUGUUUUGUAUUGGAAGUUUUGGUGAAAUUGAGUAAUUAGAGUUAAAUUGUGAAAUUAAAUUUUUGAGGGAUUAAAAUGUGAAAUAAAUGAAAUGUGAGGAUUGGUAUGAACAAUAGGUACAUUCGGCCCUUAAGGAGUGUAGUCAAAAUUUGUGUAUUUUGUGUUUUGAGCAAAAAGGAUUAAAUUGUAAAAAGUGUGAAAUGUUAGGGGCAAAAUUGUAAUUUGCCCAUAUAUAUGUUCUUAGACUAAUUGAAUGAAAAAAAAAUGUUUAAAUGAGAUUUUUUUGAAUAUGUUUAGAUCAAGAAACCAAGAAAUCGAAUUUAGAUCGGGGGAAAUCGAAAGUAGUUGAGUAGCCGAUCUAUUAGUCGACGACAUCCGAGGUAAGUUAUUAAGCAUAUAUAUAUAAUUGUGUAUUUUUAAAAUCAGCUUAGUAUUUAUGUAAUUAUGCUGAAUUGAAUGAUAUAUAAAUAUACAUGUAGUGAUAAAAUUAUUGAAAUAAGAUAUAUUGAGUUGUUGACUUUUGACACUAAGUGUGCGAAUUUAAUUGUAAAGCACUAAUUGUGCAAGUUUAAUUGAAAAGCACUAAGUGUGCGAGUUUAAUGGUAAAGCACUAAGUGUGCGAACUUAUUAAAUAUUUUCGAAUAACUAUUAGCAUUGAGUAUUUGUUUUUUUUUUUUUUGAGAAAUUAUGAUUAGUAAAAUGAGUAAAUACUUGGAAUUUUUGUGGUUGUAUUUAAGGUUAAGCUUUGUAGGUAUUAAACCUAUGUGGUGAUUAUAUUUGGAAUUAUAUAUAUAUAUAAUAUGAUUCUUUAUAUUACAUGGUGAGGAACUGCAUAAUGUAUUUGGUCUUGUGAUUAAAUUUGAAGAAAUGUUUAUGGUUAUGUAAUUAUAUUGAUUUAGUUAAAUCAUAGUAAUAAGUGAAUAAUUAUCUUAUGAUAUGGUAAGCUAAAGGUAAGAUGAUUUAGUAGUAUGAAUUGGUUGAAUAUUAUUUAAGAUAUCGGUUUAAAUAGUAGAGUUUAUUUGCUUAUAACUUACUAAGCUAAAUUAGCUUACAAUGUGUUGGAUAAUUGUUUUUUUUUUAUGUAUAGAUUUUGGUGAUUGCUACGUGUUCGGGGAUCGUCAGCUAAGUUCGUCACACUAUCGAUAUUUUCUUUUGGUACUUUACUAAAUCGUUUUCAAAUAUAUGGCAUGUAUAGCAUAGUUAAAAUAUUGAAUUUGGAACUAAUGUGUAUAUGUAUUUAAAAGCCAUGCGAAAGAGGCUUAUAUAUAUUUUUUUUUUUGGACUUGAAUUUGGUUUGGAUGCAUGUGUUUAAUGAUUAUGAGUGUGGUAUAUGCUUAUGGUAUUAUUAUAUGGAGGGAUUAUUUGUUCUUGGUAUAUAUAUAUAUUGGGCUACAAUGGAAUUAAUGAAUAGUUAAUUAAAGUUAGUUGCAAGAUGUGUACACGUAUGGUUGUGUAAAAAAAUGUGGAUUUCUAACUUAAAAAUGUGUGAGAGUAGAUAUUAAUAAGCAUGCUAUAUAUAUAUAUAUAUAUAUUCAUAUAUGUGCAUGGUAUGUUUGAUUUUGGUAUGUUAAGGGUUUGGCAUUGUAUAUAGGUAAUGACUUAAAAUAAGUCUAGUUCAUGACUAGCUGCUUAUUAAAUUAUGUUUAUAAUAAUUCGGUCUUAACUUAGCUCUGCUUUGAAAUUAUGUGAUAUGAUUUGAAUGGUUAUGUUUAAUUUGAUUUUAUAUGUGACUAUAAGAUUCGGCCAUGAUGUAAUAUUAUUAUGUAUGUAUGUAUAUAUAUAUAUAUAUUCAUUUGAUUAGUAAUAGAUAUACUUAUUAAUGCCGCAUAUGAAAUAGAGGAUAGGUUUUGUAACAUAUUUUGUUUAGUCCAUUAAGUACAUGUUUAUUAAUAAGCAUAAAGAUGAUAAAAAAAAUCAUUAUAUAUAUUUUUUAUACCAUUUUAAUGAUAAACACACGAUUCGUGUAUUUAUUUUGAAGCAUAAGUUGUAUGGAUUUAAGGCAUGAUUUUUUUUAAGGUGUAAAUAUGAUUAUAUUCAUGAGAUACUAUAUUUGUUUUGUGAUUAAUAAUGUAUGUAUAAUUUGUAAUUAGUCUCUUUUUUUUCAGUAAUACCUCAUAACCCUAAUCUGGCGACGGACACGGGUUAGGCGUGUUACAAUUUAAAAUAACAAUAAAACAAUAUAAGACAUUCAAUAAAUAUCGAUGGUGUUUUGAUUCAAUGUUCAAGUUCAUUAAAUAAUUUUUCUCAAAUAACACAAGAAGGAAAGAUAUUCGAACACACGAGUGUCCAACCAAACACCAAAUGAUCAAUGAAAUUAGUGCAAGUGCCAACAAUAACAAUAUUCCAUUGGGAGAUAAUGCAACUUAGUCUAUAAUCAACCAUCACACUAAAUGCACAAAACGCAACAAUGACAAUGCUCCUGAAUGCUUAAGACAGUUCCACAAUAAACAAUGAUGGAGAUUCCUCCACCUUACGAGAUGUGGCUUAUACCAAAACAUUUCAAUUAUUAAAAUAGUAAUUAACAAUGAUUUUCGGAACAUAACCAAUUAAUAAAAAUAACAUUUUAAAAAUAGUAACCAUAAUUAAAAUCAAUUUAAUAAACUGCCACACAAGUAAAAAUUCAUAUGCAAGGAAUCAAAAUAUCAGUCCACUAAGCCAAUAAUUUAAUUGCAACAUUAACAUAAUUUAAAACGUAACGAUUACAAACUAAUUUUUUAAAUGUUGGUUGCUUAGGAUCACAUGCACUAUAAACGUAAGGACCACCGUUGAAAGCCAUGCAAAAAUCUACAAUUUUAUAUUUAUAUGUGUAUAUAUACACAUAUACAUAUACACGUAAACACUAUAAAUCAUGCCAACCAUUAACAAAGCCAUGCAAAUAUUUAUAUUUAUAUAUUUCAUAUAUUUAUACAUUCACAUGCACAUAACUAAAUACGACAUCAUGCAAAUAUAGUUAUGUACAGAAUAUUGAUAUAUUAUCUCAUUAAUUUUAAAAAUAAACAACACCAAAAGACCAAGCUUUACACUACUCACACGACAUAACAUUGGUUUCACGAAUCCUCAAAGCACUACUCCCUCUGGGCUUUCUACGAUUUAACAGCAACCUGCUUUGUCUUUAUUUGGUUGUGGCUUCUAUGCAGAUUAGACGAGAGGCUUCAAUGGAUGAUAUAAAAGAGGUGGUGUUGGUCAGUGGUGGGCAGAGGUGGCCUGAUGUCGGUGCAAGGAGAUCAACGGUUAGGACCAGGGUGACUGUGGAGCGAUGAGAUGUUGGGGCGACGGAAGAACUCACGAUGGCGAUGAGAGGGCGGACAAUGGUGCAUUGAUGGAGAUGACUCCAAGGCAGCGUGAUGAAAGGGAGGGACGACUUGGGGCAGUUGGCUGACGGUGUGGCGACUAAGAGGAUCGGUGCUUAGUGAUGGAAUGAAGGAGACAAUGCCUGACGUUGGGGAGUGAAAGGUGGUAAUCAGUCUUUUAUUAGGGGUAGAAUUCUACAAAAGAAGGGUUUUGAUAGUAGGAAAGUUUGACCAAAUGUGUAUUCUUUCUUAGUUGUAACUCUGAAACCUAAUUGAUGAUGAUGAUGAUGAUGAUGAUAGAGCACACACGCCCAGGCCACCACUCUGUCAACUAAGUUGUUUAAGGGCUAAUUCCAAUAUUUGUCCCCAAUUAAUUGCUGAGGUUUCAAUUUAAUCCAUAAAUCAAGAUCAAAAUUCAAUUAGUCUUAAAAUUAAACUAAAAAAUCAAAUAAGUUCAUAAUACACAAAAAAUCACUAAAAAUAUAAAUUUUAUCCUAAUGUUCCAAAAUUCCGAAAAUAUAUUUAUCGAACUUAUCUCGAUUUUGUGUGAAAUCAUAGUUGGAAAUUUUGGAGUGUUUCACGAAAUUAUCCAUCAAAGUGCCUUAAGAAGUAGUAGUCGAGUAGUGCGUUGUUAAAAGUUCCUAGAAAGAUGUUAACAUUGGAUAUUAAAUGAGCAUCGUGGAUGGAAAAGAGGACAUCAAAAUACGAGUAUAGAGAUUUGUAGCUUGCUACCAGAGGCAAAGCUAGUUGCUGGUAGGGCUUGACCUCCCUUUAAAUGGAAUAAUUUCAUUUAUACUCUUAUAUAGUUUAUAAAAUUUUAAAUUAGUAAUAAAAAAAUUUAUACUUUGACCUCCUUUAAAAAUUAUAAAGAUAUUAUAAAAAUAUAUAAUUUAAUUUCACCCCUAAAACAAAUUUUUGGUUUCCCGGAUUAUAGAAAAGCUAUAAUCGUGUUAUGAAGUGAUAAUGGGUAAAUAAGUAUAAGAGAAAUGAGUUGAAAAGUAGGAAGAGAGAAGUAUGUAUUUGGUAUUGAGAUCAUAUGAGUUGGGAAGUUAAAUCGUGGGUUGACGUGAACGGAUAAGGCACGCAUUGGAUGUGUGGGAAGAGAUUUAAGUCAAGAAGAAAAGUGACAGUAAUUUGAAGUAAACAAUGAAGGUUAUGCACAUGCUCAAAAGGAAAAGUUAUGAUCAUUUGAUGGGGAUGAGUCAAGAUAAGAUAGCCAAUUAAAGGUGCAAAAUUAACCCAAGUUGAGAUGAAUAUGGUGAAUAUAAGCUUGUUAACCCAAGUUGAGUGACAUGUCAAGUUAUAACAAUCAAGUGAAAAUGAUUGAUGUGGUAUAUUAAAAUUAUAUGUUAGUGACAUAUAUGGUAUGGAAGACAUUAGAAGAUAAGAAACUUAUGAUUCGUGCUAAGGUUAAGAUUUAUAGAUAUUUGAUGAAUCAAAGGACAUCUUGUGCAAUGUGAAAGAUAAAGAGGGAAAUUUAUUUAGGGUUCAACAUUUAAGUGAAGCAAAUUAUAAGGUUGUGAAAACCGUUAAAAGGAUAAAAUGUAAAUUUUAGAAUAUAAAAAAAUUAAAUUGAAUUAAUGGAAAAAAAAAUGACAAAGAGGUAAUUUUUACUUAAUUUACUUUACUGAAAGUAAAUGGAUAAUUAUGGAAUUAGAGAAUAAAGAAAAUUGGGGAAAAAAGAAGGAGGAGGAGGAGAAGUGUUGUCAUGAUUAUGACCCUUGGAUAUUAUGGAAGAGGUGAAGAAAUAAUUGCAAUUGGAUAUUAAUUAUGAUGAUGGGAUUUUUAUUAAUGUUUUAAUUAUAUUAAUUGCUAUAUGGCCGUGUGUCAAGCCAUGUGGCUCAAAUGAACGUGUGGAAGAGGUCAGUCUAUGUGGCUCCUGUACUUGUUCUGAUUUUCGAUUCUUGAUAAGUGUCAAAAGUAACAUAUUUUAAUCUCAUUCUUAAUUCAUUUUUAGAUGAUUAAUCAAUGCAAAACGGUAAAAUUUAUGCUCAUAAUCCUUUAAAUUCAUAUUUCUAUACUUAUAAGAGCAUUUGAGAGAAAAAUUAGUGAAAACGAAGCGAAAAUCAAAAAAUUGGAGCAGAUUUCAAGAGCCACACGAGUUGGACACAUGGUCAUGUGAGCCACACGGGCUGCCACACGGCCAUGUGCCAGAUAGAGACACAUGGUCAUGUGAGCCACACGCCAUGUGCCAGAUAGAGGUGCUCAUGGGCCGGGCCCGGCCGGGUUCGGGCCGGGCCCAUAAAAAAUUUCGGCCCGGGUCCUAGGCCCGGCCCGACCCGGCCCGAAAUAUGGGCCUAAGAUUUUGCCCAGGCCCGGCCCGGGAAAAAAAUCAUAAGCCCGGGCCCGGCCCGUCCCAUUUUUAUUUUAAAAAUUUUAAAAAAAUUAAAAAAAGUAUUUUAAAAAUAUUUUAAAAUUAAAAAAAAAUUAAAAAAGUAUUUUGAAAAUAUUUUAAAAUUAAAAAAUUUUUAAAAAGUAUUUUAAAAAUAUUUUAAAAUUAAAAAAGUAUGUAAAAAAUAUUUUAAAAUAAAAAAAAAUAUUUAUUAUAUCGGGCAGGGCCGGGCCCGGGCCGAAAAAGUGGUGCCCGAGGCCCGGCCCAUUUUCUAAACGGGCCUCGUUUUUUUGCCCAAGCCCAUAUUUCGGGCCUAUAUUUUUACCCAAAUCCUCUCAUAUUUCGGGCGGGCCGUCGGGCCGAGCCGGGCCACCCGGCCCAUGAGCACCUCUAGUGCCAGACCGUGUGGAUUUCGCAUUUCACACUCCAAAUAUGUGGAAUCACGCAAUUUUUAAGUUUUUCGGGCAUUCUUAGACCUAUAUAUACCAAAUAUAUGGAGAGAAGUAAGAGCCGUCAGAGAAUAUUGAAGAAAACAACUCAAAAGACAUCAUUGAAGUCGACUUUGAAACAAAUUUCUACUAAGAUUGAAGAUCUCCUUUUGAUUUCUUUGAAGUUUAUUAUGAGUUUUUUUAUUUCUUGUGGUUAUACUGUCUUUGAGAUGUUUUUACUCUCGAUUAUGAACUAAUUUUCUAAAGAUGAACCUUAUGACAAAUUUUGUCUUUUGACUUCUAUUUUAUGCAAUGAAUAAUUAAAUCUUGUUCUCAGUUAUGUGUGCUAAAUUUUUUAUUUAAUAUUUUCAAAUUAUUAAUUCAUGUUUGAUAUGCUUAAUUCAGAGUAGAUCUAGCAUAAUUCAAUGGAGUUGCAUGUAAUCCUAGAAAUAGGACAACAUAAAUCUACCCUGUUAGAGUCAAAUCUAAUAGAAGAAUUCAUAAAUCGAGUCGGUACGAUAAUAGGGAUUUCAAUUAAUCCGUAAAUAUCCCAAAAUAAUAUUCGACUUAUACGAUACAUUUCUAAAGUUGCGAAAGAGUACCUUGGGUGCAAUAUGGCCCAUGGUACCUCUAACUGUUGUCAUUGAAAUAGCAUUUUGUUCCUUGGAACACAAUUUAGCAAGGCCUGAAUGGAGGAUACGUUACUAGCCUUGAUGCAGGUACUCGAUGCCUUUGGUUACACCGACAAUAAUAUCCUGAAGUUUUUCCCAACUAAGGGAUCGAUCCGUACCCUUAGCUUGCAAAUAUGAACUUCUUUAAUGACUCGUUUGGUAGGUAUUCAUAAAUGAGAACUCAGUCAUAUCCAUCGACACAAAACUCAACCAGGCAUGUCACAUUCACAUGGUGGAUUCUGCCCAUCGAACCCACCUCAUUGAUGAACUCUCAAUAUUUAACUAAAGUUUGCUUUUUUACUUUUUUUUUUAUUUUCAUUUUUAAGAAAAUGUUAUUUUAUUAAUUCAAUUAUCAAAAUUAUUAUUAUUUUAUUUAAAUUAGAUUAAUCCUCAUUUAAUUAUUACAAGUAUAUUAUUUUAAAAUUAUAAAAAUUAUUAUUUAAUAAUUAAACAAAUAAACAUUUAAAAUCACAUACAUUACAUUAAAAACUAGUAUAUCUAAAUAUAUAUUUUACCACUUAUUUUAAUCUUGUUAUUUUUAAUUUCAUCAAAAUUAUUAUAUAUCACUCGAGCCACUGCGACUGCUGACCGGUGAUUAUUGCCUGCAUAAUUUGAUGAAAGGUUCUGAAUUAAUACAUCCAAGACUUUUAUGAGCAUCGCCAUUGACUGACCGACGACUUGUAUGAAAGAAUUUUCCACGUACGUUAGCUUUAUUACUGGACUGAUUUUUCAAAGAAAGACUUGCUCUCAAUUGGAGCCAUAAAACAAAUGAAUGAUUGGCAUUUUACAUUAAAGAGCAUCCCAUUGUUUAUUUCUUCAUCGGAGCUCCACCGGAACUUGAUGAUGUUAAGACCCAGACUUUUCUUGUUUAGCAUCUUUGCCCUUACUUUAUCUCUAUCCCCAGAUGUUUCCGAUGGUAGAGCAGGCAAAAGCAACCACUGUGGCCCAUCUUUGUGUGGACACGUUAAUAUCAGACACCCUUUCCGACUAAAAGGUCAGCCUCGUCGAUGUGGUGACCGUAGGUAUGAAUUAGAAUGCAAGAGAAACCGCACCAGUUUUCCCAUGAAAUACGGAAACUUUUAUGUCCUAAACAUCUCUUAUGUUGACCGAACGCUUCGACUUGUGGAUGUGAGUCUGGUCGAUGAAAACUGCUCAAUUCCUCGCAGUUCCAUUGUCUAUUAUCCAUACAGCUAUCAAGAAGACAUAAAUUAUGGAAGACACACCAUGUAUCUGGUAAAUUGCACGACAAGGAUGAAGUCUUCUUCAGUUUAUGUCGAUGCUUCUCGUUGCCCAACCAAUAGCUCUUCUUCUCCUUGGACCUACUUCUACUUUCCAGUCUCGUUUUCAAAUAUAUCCGAUUUCCAUCAUUCGUGUAGAUUUAUAGCCCAGUUUCCUGUCAUGCUUUCCAAUAUUAGUGGCUUAUCCCCUUCUUACAUUUACAAAAACCUGUUGGAAGGCGUCGAGGUGUCCUGGUAUAGACCCUUUAGUUUUUGGCCUUCAAACCCGGUUCUCAAAGUGUAAGAGACUUCGAUCUUUAGAUUCUUUCAAUCUAUAACUUUUCAAGGCCUUAUUUAUUGAUUGGUUGCUUUUUUUUUCCUUGGGGGGGGGGGGGGUUAUUCUAGCUUGCUACAGUUGGUGAUCUAUUCACUACGUCCAAUUUUAGCAUACAUAGUAAGCAAUGUGGCCUUUCUUCUACCGGGAAUCAUCGGCCAUUAUCCUUUUGGGAAAGGUUAAUCUUUCAGAUUUCAUAAGUAUCUUUAUUUAUUGGAUUUGCCCUUGAAUUGUAUUCGAGUUAGUAAUAUUAUUGUUCAAUUUGCGUUUUAAACAGGAGCCACCUUCGUUUGUCUUGCAGUAUCAGGUAAAUCUCUUUCCCUUCCCACUUUUUAUGUUAUCUUUAUAAAAUAAUCAUGAAUGCUGAUUUAUCCAUGUGUAUGCACCUUGAUGGGCAAGCAGGCAUAUUGUUAGCGAGAACUUUGUUGGGGAUAUUCUGCCUCAUUACACUUGUCAUAUGCAAACUAAAGAGGAGGCAUUUGUCGAUGGAUGAUGAUAUCGAAAACUUUCUUCAAAGUCAAAAUAAUUUAAUACCUAUUCGAUAUUCGUAUUCUGAAAUAAAAAGAAUUACGGAAGGUUUUAAAGUUAAAUUAGGUCAAGGUGGUUAUGGUUCUGUGUUUAAAGGAAAGCUUCGCAGUGGUCGGCUAGUGGCAAUAAAAAUGUUAGAUAAAUCCAAAGCAAAUGGAGAAGAUUUCAUCAAUGAAGUUGCUACUAUUGGAAGAAUUCAUCAUAUUAAUGUAGUGCAACUUAUUGGGUUUUGUGUAGAGAGAUCAAAACAAGCUCUUGUAUAUGAUUUUAUGGUGAAUGGGUCUCUGGAUAAAAUUAUAUUUUCAAAGGAGAAUUGCACUUUAAGUUGGCAAAAAUUAUUUGAUGUUGCACUUGGUGUGGCUCGAGGAAUUGAAUACUUGCACCGGGGUUGUCAAAUGCAAAUUUUGCAUUUUGAUAUCAAGCCGCACAACAUUCUUUUGGAUGAAAACUUUAUCCCUAAAGUUUCUGAUUUUGGUCUUGCAAAAUUAUAUUCAGUGGAUGACAGUAUUAUUUCUCUCACAGCGGCUCGUGGUACAUUAGGAUACAUUGCUCCUGAAUUAUUUUACAGAAAUAUUGGAGGCAUCUCAUAUAAAGCCGAUAUUUAUAGUUUUGGAAUGUUAUUAAUGGAAAUGGUGGGAAGAAGAAAGAAUUUGAAUGCAUUUGAUGAUCAUUCUAGUCAAAUUUAUUUUCCGUCAUGGAUUUAUGAUCGAUUUGAACAAAGAGAGAACAUAGAAUUAGGGGAUGUAACAGAAGUUGAUGACAAAAUAGCAAGGAAGAUGAUAAUGGUUGCAUUUUGGUGCAUACAAAUGAAUCCCACUAAUCGUCCUUCAAUGAGCAAAGUUUUGGAAAUGCUCGAAAAUGAACAUGAUCAACUUGAAUUGCCGUCCAGACCUUCACUAUUUUCUCUCGAAAAGUCGACUGAAGAUCAUGUUUGUAAGAAUGUAUCGGAGGAACCAUCAACGUCAAAAAGUUGUGUGGACAUCUAAGUAUAAUGUUUGAUUUUAUUCGGACCUUUUAUACAUAUAGUUCUGCAAGUACUGUAAGCUUUUAAUUUGUAGCAUUUCAUGCUCAGUUGUAUAAUAUCCAGCAUCAUGUAAUACGACUAUUAAUGGAUGUGUGUUUUAGACUUUAGCUCCUUAGCUUCAUGUUUCAAUUAUUAAAAAUGUCUCCUUUUCACCAUAUAAUGAGUUAAUAUCAAAUUCGUUAACAAUUAUUUAGUAUGUAAGUGACUCUUAACAUUGCGUGAUCUCAUGAGAAAGUUUUUACUCUCUUAUCGUAAUAUGUAAUCAUGCUGAUAAAAGUAACUUGUAAUAAUUAUGAGUGUGGUGUGGCGGUUGCUCACUUUAUUUUUUAAUCAUGUAGUCAGGGUUUGAGUUCCGCUCAUAGAAAUGGAAUACCUUCCAACGAUGAAUAUCUUAAUUUUGACAAUUAAACAACAUUUAAGAUAGAAUCUUUUCAUUUAUUAGUAGAAUUUAUAUACUAACAGCCAUGCAGCAUUUCAUUUAUGAGUUCAAAUAAAAUCUUAGCAUUGGUGUAAUAUGAGUGUGCUAAUAGGUGAUUUCAAGUUUCAACUGAUUCUAGUACUACUAACAAUGAGGCUCGAGACUGUUCUUAUUCCAUUUCUGAAAUAGUGGGUAGAUCUCUGUUAACCGGCUUCCUAGGUAUGGUGGCACCCAUCGUCUUCGGUGGAUCUGUUGACACAAAAGGAUUUGGGGGCAUUGUAAGAACGUCAAGCUCUCCCUCUAACAUCUGAACCACCACUUUCAUCGAAGGACGAUCAACGGGAUACCACUGAAUGCACCAAAGUCCAACGAUCAUGAGUUUCUUUUCUAUCCCUGUUUGUGCAUCAUCUUCAAUUCGAAUCCCGAACUCCUCUCCUUUAUCCAAACGAUCAUAUGCCCAUUCUGGGAAAUACACUUGGCUUGUAUUCUCGACCAUAACAUCUAUGUUCUUUCUCCCCCCAACCAUUUCAAGCAACAGCAUUCCAAAACUAUAAACAUCAGACUUAUAUGACACAUUUCUGAAGUUGCGAGACAGUACCUCUGGUGCAAUAUAGCCCAUGGUACCUCUUGUUGGCACAUAAUUAAAUUAACCUUGCACAAAUAAAUUAUGAAAAGUUAGAAGAGUGAAGAGACUUGAAUAUGAAUAGUGAAGAGACUUGAAGAUGAAAAGUUAAGAGUCUUGAAUAUGAAAGGAUACACACAUGCAUGAAUAGUCACAACUCCUAGCAUAUAGUGAUUUAGAUGAAUAGUCACUUACAACUCCUAUAUAAAGAGUUGUAUGUAAUGAAGAAUAAUUAACUUGUGUGCUUGAAAUAAAAGCUUAUUUGAAAGAAUUUUUCCAUACAAAAUUUAUUUCUCUUCUCCAUUAUAUUCUUUAUCAUUUUCUUUGUUUUAUUUCUCCAAAUAUUAAUUAUUCAACUACAAAUUGGUAUCAGAGCCUUGUUCGAUCGAAAUGAACAAUUCUAUUCCUCUUUCUUCCGUUCCCCAAUUAACCAAAGAAAAUUAUGGCAAAUGGAGUAUCCAAAUGAAGGCUCUUCUUGGAUCUCUAGAAGUUUGGGAGAUUGUUGAAAAAGGUUAUAAUGAAGUUGAGGCUGAAGAGGAGGAAGGAUUAUCACAAGUUCAAAAAGAGGGUUUAAGAAAAUCAAGGAAAAAAAAUAAACAAGCCUUAUUUUGGAUAUAUCAAGGAGUUCAAUCAAAUGAAGCAGCAUGGGAAAAAAUAGCUUGUGCCACCACGGCAAAACAAGCAUGGGAGGUUUUACAAAAUUCUUUCAAAGGAGAUGAAAAGGUGAAAAGAGUUCGGUUGCAAACUCUUCGAGGGGAGUUUGAAAGAUUGCAAAAAAUAGAGUCGGAAUCAGUUUUUGAUUACUGUUCACGAGUUUUGUCCAUAGUCAACCAAUUGAAAAGAAAUGGUGAAACUAUGGAUGAUAGUCGUGGUGUUGAAAAAAUCCUCCGUUCUUUGGAUUCUAGAUUUGAUUACAUUGUGGUAGCCAUUGAAGAAUCAAAGGACUUGAGUACCAUGACUAUUGAUGAACUCACAGGUUCGUUGCAAGCCCAUGAAGAAAGAUUAAACAAGAAGAAGAAGGAAGUAGAUCUAGAUCAAGCACUCCAGUCAAAGUUGUCUCUAAAUGAGAAGAAAGGAGAAUUUAAAAAUCAAAGAGGGAGAGAUCGUGGAAGAGGAAGAAAUUUUAGAGGAAGAGGCUCAAAUGCUCGUCAAAGAUAUGAAAAUACAAGCACGGAGAAUGGAUGGAAAGAAGCCAGCCAAAGUCAGAAUUUUAGAGGAUCACAAAGAGUACGUGGACGUGGAAAUCAAAGAGGAAGAGGUCGUGGCUAUUUUGAAUGUUAUCAUUGUCGCAAACCUGGUCAUUUGGCAAGUGAAUGCUGGUACAAGAAAGAAGAGAAAAAUGAAGCUAAUAUAGUACAAAAUAAUCAAGAGCAAAAGCAAGAAACUUUGUUGCUCGUGUCUCAUGGUGGAGAGAUUGAUGAUGUCUGGUACAUAGACAGUGGUGCUAGCAAGGCUAUGACAGGUAACAAAAAUUUAUUUUCGAAGUUCUUUGAAUCUGAUUGUGGAGAAGUAAAAGUAGGAGAUGGCAAUGCUUACAAAGUUAGCGGUGUUGGUGAGUUGGAGUUCAAAACAAAGCAAGGAAGGGUAGAGAAAAUGUCUGAAGUUUAUUUUGUUCCCGGACUUAAAAAUAAUCUGCUUAGUGUUGGGCAUCUUUUAAAGAAGGGGUAUGAUAUUCAUUUUCGUGACAUGGCUUGCUAUUUAUCAAGGAAAAAUCAGGUUGUUGCUAGAGUUGGAGUGGCAUCAAAUAAUCUUUUCUCUCUCACCCUUCAAAAUCAGAAUAUGUCUUGUUUUAUUGGUGCUCAUAAAGGAGUUUCAAAGUUAUGGCAUGAUAGAUAUGGACAUUUGAACUAUGGAAAUUUGGAGAUGCUUUCAAAGAAGAUGAUGGUCAGAGGUUUACCAAAAAUCAAUCGACUUGAUGAUAUUUGUGAAGCAUGUCAACUUGGAAAGCAACACAAAAUUACUUUUCCUUCUCAAUCAUCGUGGAAAGCAAGAAGACCAUUGCAACUUAUUCACUCAGAUCUUUGUGGUCCAAUGACAAUUUCAUCUUUGGGAGGUAAUCGUUAUUUUAUCUCUUUCAUUGAUGAUUACUCAAGAAAGUUAUGGGUGUAUUGUGUAAAAGAAAAAUCAGAGGCUUUUCAGAGAUUCAAAGAUUUCAAGGCAGAAGUGGAGAACUUUACUGGGCUAAAAAUUAACACCUUACGGACAGAUCGUGGAGGUGAAUAUUUUUCAAAAGAAUUUGAGAAAUAUUGCCGAGAUAGUGGCAUCCGGCAUGAAAUGACAGUCCGCCAUACACCUCGGCAAAAUGGUGUGUGUGAAAGAAAGAAUAGAACAAUUAUGGAAAUGACUAGAUGUCUUCUUAGGAAGAAGAGGUUAUCAAGAAGAUUUUGGGCUGAAGCUGUUUCUUGUGCAGUUUAUCUUAUAAAUAGAUCACCGACAAGAAGCUUGGAGAAUUGCACACCACAUGAGGCGUGGUAUGGUAUAAAGCCUAGUGUUAGUCAUCUUAGAGUAUUUGGGAGUGUUGCAUACUCUCAUAUUCCAGAUGCAAUGAGAAGCAAGUUGGAUGACAAGUCAGAGAAAUGCAUUUUUAUUGGUUAUAGUGAAAGAAGUAAGGCAUACAAGUUGUACAAUCCGGUGACAAAGAAGAUUGUGAUAAGCCGAGAUGUUCGGUUUGAUGAAAAUUCCAUGUUUGAAGAUAUAGAAGUUGAAAAGGAAAAUUUGCCAAUUUUUCCUUUUGAACUUGAAGAAGAAGAAGAUGCAGUAAUUGAGAAUGCUGAAGAUGAUGCUCAAGUAGGAAAUCCUCCUGCUUCCUCAAGUUCUUCAUCAAAUUCUUCUUCAUCCAGCCCGAUCCGAAAAACGAGAAGCAUCCAAGAGUUAUAUGAUGUAACGGAUGAAGUUGUGCAAAAUGAUGUUGUAUUCUUUGCCUUCUUUGCAGGAGAAGAUCCAAUUUCUUUUGAUGAUGCAUAUCAAGAAGAAAUAUGGAGGAAAGCCAUGAAAGAAGAGAUUUGCUUAAUUGAAAACAAUGAUACAUGGGAACUCACAGAUUUACCGCCGCACAAGAAUUUAAUUGGAGUCAAAUGGGUGUACAAGACAAAGAUGAAUCCGAAUGGCUCUAUCAACAAGUACAAGGCAAGACUGGUUGCAAAAGGAUACAAACAAAAGGAAGGAGAAGAUUUUACAGAGGUAUUUGCUCCAGUUUCAAGACUUGAGACAGUUCGGUUACUUAUUUCUCUUGCUGCCCAAAACAAUUGGAAAAUGUUCCAAAUGGAUGUAAAAUCUGCGUUUUUGAAUGGUGUUCUCAAAGAAUAAGUCUAUGUUGAUCAACCACCAGGGUUUGUCAAAAAAUGAGAAGAAGAAAAAGUUUACAAGUUGAAGAAAGCUUUGUACGGGUUGAAGCAAUCACCCCGAGCUUGGUACAGCCGAAUCGAUUCUUAUUUUCAGAAGUGUGGAUUCCAGAAAUCUCCAUAUGAGCAUACUCUCUACAUCAAAGGCAAUUAUCAAGGAAGAUUCAUGGUUGUUAGUCUCUACGUUGAUGAUCUUAUUUUCACAGGAAAUGAUGUGAAGAUGUUGAAAGAAUUUCAGCACUCAAUGAUGGCAGAAUUUAAGAUGAUAGAUUUGGGAGAACUUCAUCAUUUUCUUGGUAUUGAAGUUCAUCAAUCUAAGAAAGGAAUUUUUAUUUCACAAGAGAGCUACGCAAAGGAAGUUCUAAAAAAGUUCAUGAUGGAAAAUGCGAAUCCAAUCUCUACUCCAUGCAUUACAAGUCUGAAGUUAUCUAAAGAGGGUGAAGGAAAGCUUGUCAAUUCCACCAUAUUCAGAAGUUUGGUUGGGAAGUUGAUGUAUCUGACUUCGACAAGGCCUGACAUCGUGUAUGCUGUUAGUUUGGUGAGUAGAUUCAUGGAGAAACCUUACUCCAAUCACUGGGAGGCUGCUAAGAGAAUAUUGAGAUAUGUGAAGGGAACCAUUGAUUAUGGAAUUUUCUAUAAAGCUAAUACUUAGUUGAUCUCAUUGGUUAUACGGAUAGUGAUUUAGCAGGAAGCAUUGAUGAUAGCAGAAGCACUUCUGGUUAUGUUUUUCACCUUGGGAGUGGUGCAGUUUCAUGGAGUUCAAAGAAACAAUCAAUUGUGGCGCUUUCGACUACAGAAGCUGAAUAUAUCGCUGCAUCUUAUGCAGGAUGUCAAUUGAUUUGGUUACGUGGAAUUUUGGAAAGUCUUAAGCAGAAGCAAAGCAAGUCAACAAUUUUGUUUUGUGACAAUAGUUCUACUAUUUCGGUCACAAAAGAUCCAGUUCUUCAUAGAAGGACAAAACACAUUCGCAUUCGAUAUCACUUCUUGAGGGAACUAGUGAAUAAUGGUGAUGUUCAAGUUGAAUAUUGCAAGACAGAAGAUCAGAUGGCUGAUAUCUUCACAAAGCCUCUAAGUGGACAAGUCUUCAAGAAAAAUGUUGAAAGGUUGGGAGUUCAAAGCAAGUUUAAUUUAAGGGAGGCAUUGUUGGCACAUAAUUAAAUUAACCUUGCACAAAUAAAUUAUGAAAAGUUAGAAGAGUGAAGAGACUUGAAUAUGAAUAGUGAAGAGACUUGAAGAUGAAAAGUUAAGAGGCUUGAAUAUGAAAGGAUACACACAUACAUGAAUAGUCACAACUCCUAGCAUAUAGUGAUAUAGAUGAAUAGUCACUUACAACUCCUAUAUAAAGAGUUGUAUGUGAUGAAGAAUAAUUAACUUGUGUGCUUGAAAUAAAAACUUAUUUGAAAGAAUUUUUCCAUACAAAAUUUAUUUCUCUUCUCCAUUAUAUUCUUUAUCAUUUUCUUUGUUUUAUUUCUCCAAAUAUUAAUUAUUCAACUACACCUCUAGCUGUUGUCAUUGAAAUAGCACUUUGUUCCUUGGAACACAAUUUAGCAAGGCCGAAAUCAGAGAUCUUAGGAUUGAAGUUGUGAUCAAGCAAAAUAUUGUGAGGUUUGAUGUCGAAAUGGAGGAUACGUUGCUCGCAACCUUGAUGCAGGUACUCGAUGCCUUUGGCUACACCGACAGCAAUAUCCUGAAGUUUUUCCCAACUAAGGGAUCAAUCCUUGCCCUUGGCUGCAAAUAUGAACUUCUCUAAUGACUCGUUUGGUAGGUAUUCAUAAACGAGAGCUCGGUCAUAUCCAUCGGCACAAAAGCCAACCAGGCGAGUCACAUUCACAUGGUGGAUUCUGCCCAUCGAACCCACCUCGUUGAAGAACUCUUCACCAUUUCCCUUGAAAUUAUUGAGUACCUUGACAGCAACUAAAACAUCACUGGAAAGUCUGCCUUUGAAGACAGUUCCAUAGCCUCCUUGUCCCAGUUUGUCCUUGAAAUGAUUAGUUAUCCUUUUAAUAUCAGCAUAGGAGUAUCUUGAGGGUUUAAACCCUUUAUAAUCUUCCAAAAACUUUUCAAUCUUGACUUGAAUUUCUUUCUCCUUUUUGUCUAACUGAUAUCUCCACCCAACUGCAAUGGCAAUGGUUGCAGCAAUUGAAGAACCCAACACAAUACCUGCAAAUCAGCAUACAUCCCUCUGUUAUAUCCCGUCUUAAAUUUUUGAAGCUAAAAGGGAAAUUCCAUUUACCUGCAAUCAUUAGCCUUUCUCCCAAACCUGCCAAGCAUUUAAAAUUAUUCAGCUUUGAUACAUGGGAAAUCUAAGAAAAGGGCUCACUGUAAGUUUACAACAUUAAGCUUCACGUUGAUGCAGGCUAAUGAAUUUUUUAACGUACGUUGUACAAUUAUAAUAGUUAAAACAUACCUAUAUGGUGCUUGGGGAUAUCAAAACACUCGGUUUGUUCCUUGGUGCUAUUAUUGUUGUUCAAUCUACAUCCCCUUCCUUGAGCUUCGCAAUCACCACAGUCUGGUUUAUACCAACGUAACUGAAAACGGAUACCAUAAGGAGAAAUGGGUGUUGAGAAGUUGCGAAAGUAGCUGCAAUUCAACAGGUUGAGUCCAUAAUAAUUUUCAUCAGAAGCAAAAGCUAUAAUUUGGGAGCCAGGGGUGCUUAAGCAAGCGACUCUAUAUCUUUUAUACAAAGCCUUCUCUUGGCUUAAACAUUCGAACAAGGUAUAGUUGGAUUCAGCUGGUUGGGAUCUAUAAUCUUUUAGGCCGCUGAAACCUGGUUGUUCCUCCGCGAAUGGAAAGGCAGAUAAAUUGAGAUCUAAAAGCUGCUGCCAGAGGCAACGGCCGGGAACGUAUAAGUCAAUCCGUUGAGCUUCAUAAUCUAUGUGCUUCACCAAUAGCUUCAGCGAACGUGGUAUCUUCAGCAGGGUCUGUUUGUUUUCUGAGCAGGAAAGCUGAAACCCAGGAUGAGGAUAGCCGCAGUGGGGAGACUGCUGGCCUUCUAAACGGAAGGGGAAACGGACAGGUGGAUCCUGGUGGUUGCACCGCCGCACCUUGCAGUCGUCUUGGAUUGGCACUGCUUCUGCAACAUUCACAGCUAAGAUAAAGCAGAAUAACGAGUAAAUUAACAUUGUUCUUACUAACUUGUGAGCCCCUAAAGUGAAACGGGCUUUAAAUAGUUUCAUUGACAUAG
This 44136-nucleotide long non-coding RNA is filed under the name Gossypium barbadense (sea-island cotton). RNAcentral's name for it is "long non-coding RNA (GBAR_LNC015216)". The record is from RNAcentral. Lineage: Eukaryota; Viridiplantae; Streptophyta; Magnoliopsida; Malvales; Malvaceae.